RNAcentral lists this long non-coding RNA (48125 nucleotides) under Ananas comosus (pineapple). RNAcentral's name for it is "long non-coding RNA (ACOM_LNC010087)". The record is from RNAcentral. Lineage: Eukaryota; Viridiplantae; Streptophyta; Magnoliopsida; Poales; Bromeliaceae.
UAUUACAUUUAUUCAUUCAUACAAGUCAUUUGAUUACCUUUGUAUCAAAUACGAGUAAAUCUAUUCUUUUUACAUUCAUUUACAAUUACAUCACAUUUAUUUCAACCCAAAAUACAAAUUUACAUUUUCUAUCUUUACAUCAUCUACAGUUCAACACCUACAGUUGAGUAUACCAAAGUGUAGGGUAUGCCUAUAUCUCGAGGGCUGCUAGCUACGGCGCAACACCCUUGCCUCGAUCCUACGCUGCCCCGCUCGCGCACGGAUCUGUAAGGUUAGUGGUAAUGAGAACUAGAACGAAGUUCCCAGUGGGUUCGGCCGCCGACCGAGCCGAUUCACCCACUAGGUCUAUUUCAGGCAUAUGUAAUUCAAUAAAGGUAGAAUUGCAAACCAACUAAUGCAACUAUUACAAUGCCUGCAAAACAAAUGUCAGUAGACAGAUAGAUAAUCGAUUUAAUGAAGAUUAUGCAUGCAUGUCCAUUUUCUCUUUUCACUUGGCCUUUACCCAAUUCAUCCGGGGUCUAUCUAGAUCACCCCAAGCUCACAUUUCAUAUGUCCCAUCUAUCGGGAUUAGCAUUUGAUAAUGCCCCCGAGGAACCCAUCCCAUCUACCGGGAUUAGCAUUUAAUAAUGCCCCCAAGAGAUCUUCGCCGGGCACUUCCACCAGUGGUGUCUACACUCCGGAGUACACCGCCUGUGGAGGAGCGACCUCGCAUAAACCGAAACCAAUACAUGUGAGUACAAUCCCAUCCCCAGUUUGAGGAGGUAUAACCAACCUGUCUCAUUUCUCAAUGCCUCAAUGCCGAUGAAAGGUCUUUACCUAUUCAUGCAUAUACCACUAUUUUCCAAUGUCACAAUGUCAUUGUGGGUUAAACCUUGUUUAACUGUUCUCUUUCCAUUGCCAAUCAAGUUACUAUAGUCAAUGUCACCAUUGUUUACUAUUGUCCAAGUCCUCUCUCGCAUUCGCAUACACAUAGGGUUCAUAUACAUUCGUUCCUUGCAUUCACUACUCACAUGGUUCUUUACCAAUUUACAAUGUUCUUUAAGCAUCUAAAUGCGAUAUUUAACCAUGCACAUACAUCUCACACAACCCUAUAUGCAAGAAUGCAACAAUACAAUUUGCUCAAUGAAGUGACAUAAAUAUAGAAAGAGAUCCGGUGUUUCCGGACAGCAUCCCCCACCUUUAUGUACAGCAUCCCCCACCUUUAUGUGUUACAAGGAUGCCAUGAUUCUGUUCCCGUGAUUUCUUGACGCUUUCGUCGCGAAUUAUGGCACGACGAAACUGAAAUACCCCUUUUUCCUCGAUUCCUUCGCGUACGCUCGUCGUAUCGCCGAACGGAGCGCACCAACGCGUUUGUUAACCUAUCAAUUAGGUUAGAAUGAGAUCAAUCCUAAGCUUCGACUUCAUAUUUACAAAACCCUAAUUUUGGGUCCCUAUACAAAUCAUCUUCCCCAACAUAGGUCCUUAGCCAUGAGAAACGUGGGAAAAAUACUAUAAUCCAUCUCCUAGAAGCAUACUAGAAGGAAAAACUCAAACCCUAGUUCAAAAAUCAUGAGAACUCACCUUUAGAGUCCAAAGCUUUCCUUCAAAAGCCUUGCUCUAGCUUGUUCUUCACCUUGGAGAGCUUCUUCUCCAAGCUUGCUCCUCCAAAAGCUCUCUUAACCAAACCCUAGGGAGUGAGAGGGAGAGAGGAGAAGAGUUUUAGAGAGAGAAAGGGAAAGGUUUGAGUGUGAGAGAGAGAGCAAAUGAGCUCUCACUCAUGCCCUAGCUCAAAUAACCCUUCACAUGUCACAUUUGCACUUAAGCCCUCUCAAUUUCCAUAUUUAUAAACAGCCCUUACUGGGCAAUUCCCGCAGUCGGGGACCGGUCUCUCCCUCAAGGACCGGUUCCCGAGAGCUACCCCGCAGCCUUCGCAGAAGGGGACCGGUCUCCCACCGGUGCAACCGGUCUCUCAAGACCGGUCUCUCACCCAGGGACCAGUUUCCGAGAGCUCGAUUUUCAGGACUUGGCCGAUUUUUCUCCUCUACUCGGCUGAUAUGCUUUCGGGGACCGGUCUCUUACCAAGGGACCGGUCCCUCACUAAGGGAUCAGUCCCCGAGAGCCAAAAUUCUGGGACUUCACCAGAAUUGCAGUUUCACUCUCUCGGGUCCCUUUAUACUUUAUAUAUAGACUCCAACACCCUUUUAGCCUAUAGUAACUCAUUCCUUUCCGCGUUCCGCUCGUUUCAAUAGAACUCGGCACGACUCACGAGGAAAUGCUAUGUUACAUUCCCCGCCCCUUAAAAAUAGUUUUGGCCGCGAAACUUAACGCGUACCUUAGCUCUCUUGCUCGAACAAGUGAGGAUACACCUCGUGCAUCUUCUCCUCGAGCUCCCAUGUGGAUUCACGCCUCGAGUGAUUACUCCAUUGCACCUUCACAUACGAAAUAGUCCGAUUCCGUAGCUUCCGCUCCUCUAGACCAAGAAUGCUCACCGGGAAUUCUUUAUAAGUGACAUCUUCGUGUAACUCCACCGGCUCAUACUCCAAUACAUGCGAGGAGUUCCAGAAAUACUUGCAAAGAUUCGAAACGUGAAACACAUUAUGCACUCCCGCAAGCUUCGGCGGUAAUGCUAACUUGUACGCCACGGGCCCGAUUCGCUCGAGAACCUCGUAGGGCCCAAUAUAUCGGGGACUAAGCUUCCCCCGAAGACCAAACCGCUUCACUCCUUUCAUAGGCGACACUUUGAGAAGCACUCGGUCGCCAACCACAAAUUCUAAAUCCUUCCGGCGCUUAUUUGCAUAGCUUCGUUGCCGGGAUUGUGCCGUCACCAGCUUCUCACGAGCAAUGCGGACCUUUUCUUCUGCUUCUCGCACCACAUCUGGACCAAGGGCGACUCUUUCACCCACUUCGCUCCAAUGGAUAGGAGAACGACAAUUUCGUCCAUACAAUGCCUCAAAUGGCGCCAUCGCUAUACUCUCCUUAUAACUAUUAUUACAAGCAAACUCCGCCAUCGGCAAAUACUCAUGCCGUCCUCCAUGAUAGUCAAGCACACAUGCUCGCAGCAUGUCCUCGAGUAUCUGAAUUGUCCUUUCAGAUUGUCCAUCACUCUGAGGAUGAAACGCUGUACUGAAAUCGAGCCGCGUGCCUAGAGCAUCUUGCAAGCUCUUCCAAAAAUGAGAAGUGAACCGGGGGUCUCGAUCUGAUACAAUCGAAAUGGGAACCCCAUGCAAUCUCACUAUCUCGUCCAAGUAAACCUGGGCUAACCUGUCUCCUGACCACGUGGUGUGAAUCGGCAAGAAGUGAGCCGACUUCGUCAAACGGUCCACAACCACCCAUAUGGCGUCAUGUCCAGCUUGCGAUCGGGGCAAUCCGACCACAAAAUCCAUCGCGAUAUCCUCCCAUUUCCACACGAAAAUUGAUAAACUCUGCAACUUUCCCGCGGGAAAUCGACGCUCGGCUUUUACUUAUUGGCACGUUAAGCACUGCGCCACGAACUCUCCAAUGUCCUUCUUCAUACCCGGCCACCAAUAAUGUAGCUUUAGGUCCUUGUACAUCUUAGUGCCGCCCGGGUGUACACUAUACGGGGACUGAUGUUGUCACGGCCCGGGACCCAGCGGAAGCCCGCCCGGCGCGUGUCCAGACCCGCCGUACGUUUAAAACAUACAAGGCGUCUAAAAUAAAGCAGUAAAUAAAACAAUACAAGAAGGCAUCUAGGAGUAUCAGAGCAAAGUAACUACGAAAUGCUACAAUAAGAAGAAGAUCAUGAAACUGAUAAUCUGCUAGGUAAAACAUAAGAUAAUACAAAAGGAGUCCCAAAGCAAGUACAAAUCUGAAUAUAAUGUGGUCUCUCUAUACAUGGUGCCAAAACUCUCCCUCUCUCUAACACAAACAAGAGAAGGAGUAACCACCUAUCGCAAAACGGACUCUCUCCCGAGCUAGCUACGCGACACCCUUGCCGCGAUCCCGUGCCUCCGCCGGUGCCGAAGGCUCUGAAAGGAAAACAUAGAAACAGAAGCGUGAAAACUAUUAAAUAAUAGUUUCCAGUUGGCAAUUACUGACUUCAGUGAAAUCCGCCACUAGGCCCAAAACUACAAAAGCAGGUCAGUGUACAAGUAUAAGCCAAAACGAUAAGAACAACUAGGAAAUAAAUAUGAAUACUAUUCAACCAUAAUAUCUCUACUUAGCAUGAUUUGCAUAAGUAAGAAGGCAAUUACUACAAGUAUGUGCACAAGAGUAUCCAACAUGCAAAUGCAUAAGUAUGCAACUAAUCCAAUGUCCACAAUGUAAAUAGUAAAGAUGUCAUUGUUUAUUAUUCUAGUCAAUGUCCACUUGUCACUUUAAUUGUUUAUAGUUCAACUUUGAUAAGACCCACCCGAAGGCUGUCUUGCAUAAGACCCACCCGAAGGCUGUCUGGCUUUACCGUGCCUAAUGGCCCCGUGGUAGUCAACAUCCCCACCCUAGGAAUGAGCCUUUCCCACAGCAAUCCACUUCGGUGCCCAAUCCCGCAGGCAAACGUAUCGCGAUGGCCAACUCCGGAGUGCCGGCUUAUAAGGAGCGACCCUCACAAGCGUGUGCGAAUGAGCACAAUGGCAAGCAUGCAUAUCAGUCCGUCUCAAGCAUCAAGUCCUCAUGUCUAAAACAUGGAAUACAUGUCAACUGUGUGGAUGGCCUAUCACUAUGUCAUCAUGUCUAAAACAUGGAAUAUAGUCGAUGCCCAAUGGUCUAUCACUAUGUCUCUAUGUUGCAUUCUCAUAGUUUGCUAGUUUCAAGUGCCCCUUUAUGACACUAUUGUUCAACGAGUUCAAGCAUGGCAUUUAUGUUCAUGAUACGUAAUUCUACUCAUUUCAAACAUAAGAGACAUGUUCUCAACUUGCAAAGCCAACCACCUUUCACAAUGCAUGCAAUCUACGCAUAUAGCUCUACUAUAUAGAGUGUAAAUUUCAAGAUAUAUAUAAGGCAUGCAUAUCAAGUGUUUUAAAAUUUAUAUAAAUCAUGUUUAACAUGGAUUUGCUCCUAAAAAGACUUUACGAAGAUUUUAGAAAGCAUAGGGGCCAUUUUGCCCCGUUUUCAUGAAGUCAAACCCACCACAACUCUCGAGAUCCUUCAUAAGCUCCGACGAAGGUGCCGACUAGUCUCCUAACACCCAAAAGAUGUAGGAACAAGGGUUAAACAAAUCUUACGAUCAACCCUAAGCUCAAUCAAUAAGUAACCUAGGCAAAGAUGGAGGAAACUCACCUUAAGUGAAGAAAUCCUCACUCAAACUCCAAAUGGGGGCAAGAACCCUCCCAACCCAACCUAAAGGAAGGUUCUAAACCAAUCAAAAAGGUUCCAAAGCCCUCAAAUCAAAAAGCCCCAAAACUAACCCUAGAAUCCCAAUCUAGGGUUUCAUCAAGCAAAAAGCUUCAAAACUAGAAUCUAGAGGAAAAGAACUAGUCACAUACCUCUAGGAAGCUCCAAACCAAGUCCAAGAUCCUCAAGGUUUGAAGGUUGGUCCACCACCAAGCUUCAAAAGCAAGCUCCAAGUCCCCCAAAGGUGAAAAAUGAAGAAGAAGAUGAUGCUCCAAGGCCUCCAAAUAAGAUCCUCUCCUUCUCCUUCUUCUUCCUCUUCUUCUCCCUCUCUUCUUCUCUCUCUAGAAUAGGUGUGAAGGGGAGAAAUGAGGAGGGAAGAGAGUGAAAGGGCCAUAUAGACCAUCUAGUGCAACAAAAUCCAGAGAAGCCCCUCAAAAAUUCAAAUUCACAUCAGCCCGGUCUGGGCAGUUUUCGCCUAGAGGGACCGGUCUCCCCGACUUGAGACCAGUCUCUCAGCCUGCCCCGAAAAUCCCACGUUCGGGAACCGGUCUCUCCUCGCAGGGGACCGGUCACCUCAAGCCCUGCCGCAGCACUGUGCUGAGGGGACCGGUCUCUCGCAUCAGGGAUCGGUCCCCGAGAGUGAAAACUCUCAGGACAUGCCAAAACUCUAGAGAUCGAACUUUUAGACCGGUAUACCAUCUACGGCCCUCCGCCAAGUGUGGAAAAGUUCAGAAUACAUAUCAAACACUCGAACCUCGCAAUUUGCAAAGGUCCAGUGUGCUACAGAUGUGCCUCCUGCAACACCACUUUGCGAAUUUCUUCAUCCUCGGGUACACAUAACCGGUUUCUGAACCGAAGGGCACCGUCGGAUCCCAUGCCGAAAUCACCGGCGCGCCCAUCAUUAAUGUCACUCCACACCUUUCGGAGAUACGGAUCAUUAUUUUGCCGCUCCUUGACUCGCUCCAACAACGUUAGUCGAACCACUAGUGCCGCCAAGAUAGUCGGAACUUCCGGCGCCACCACUUCCAAUCCAAACCAGUGCAUUUCUCUUUGCAACAAUGGUUGGCUAGUAAUCGUCGUCGCCAAGUUCUCAACAGAUUUUCUACUCAGCGCAUUGUCACGCCCCGGGACCCAGCGGAAGCCCGCCCGGCACGUGCCCAGACCCGCCAUGCGUCUAAAACGCAUAAGGCGUCUAACAACAACAAUAAUAAAAGCAAUAGUACAAGACAUCUAGGAGUAUCAGAGCAAUAUCAAUGUCUAAAAGCUAUAACAAGGGAUAAAGUUAAAACUGUAAAUCCACUAAAUAAAACAUAAGGUAAAUACAACAGGAAUCCCAUAACAAGUGCUAAAAGGAGUACAAGGUGGUCUCUCUAUACAAGGUACAAAAUCUCUCCCUCUCUCACAAAAUAUGAAAUAGAGGAGUAACCACCUAUCGCAAAAGAACUCUCCGCGAGCUAGCUACGCGACACCCUUGCCGCGAUCCCGUGCCUCCGCCGGUGCCGAAGGCUCUGAAAAGUAAACCAUAAAACGAGGGCAUGAGAACUAUUAAAAAUAGUUCCCAGUGGGCAAUUACUGACUUCAGUGCAUGCACCACAAGGCCCAAAGCUACAAAAAAUGUCAGUGACAAUAAAAGUAGAAAGGCGACAGGUAAGUAAAUAUGUAACCUACUAUGACAUGAUAUCUCUACUUAGCAUGAAUAGCAUAAGUACGAAAGCAACUAUGCAUAAAGUAAAUAUCUCCAACUAUCAUGAUGUUCACAAUGUGAAAUAGUGAAGUUCCGUUGUUUACUAUUCUAAUCAAUGUCCAAGUAGUACACUAAGUCAUCAUCUGUCCACAUGUCAUAAUGGAUAUAUAUAGCCCCAAUCUGAAGACCCACCCGAAGGCUGUCUAUGGCCCUGAGACCACCCUAGGCUUCUGGCCGGUUGCCGAGCUAAUGGCCCCGUGGUAUCAUCAUCCCACCCUAGGGGAGCACUGUCCCACGCAAUCCACUUCGCGCGCAAUCCCGCACGCGCGAAUAUGUAUCGGCGAUGGCUAUCUCGAGUGCCGGCUUGUAGGGAGCGACCCUCACAAGCCAUGUGCGAAUGAGCACAAUGGCAAGUAGUCAAACGAUCUGUCGCAGUACCAAGUCCUCAUGUCUAAUAACAUGGAAUGUAUCGAGUGUCCCAAAGGCCUAUCUCUUGUCAUCUGUCUCUAAACAUUGAAUAUAUAUAGCAGAUGUAAAAGGCCUAUCAAUGUAUCUCUAUGUUGCAUUCCAUAGUUCACUAGUUUCGAGUGCCCUUUAGACACUCUCUGUUUUCUAUGUCAAACAUGGCAACUAUGUUCCAAAGCACAUAUUUCAAGUCAUAAUCCUCAUAAGAGAUGUAUUUUCCACUUGUAAAAUAAACACUUUUUCCAUAUGCAUGCAUUCUACUCAUAUAGCUCUACUAUAUAUGUAGAAAUUUCAUAAUACUCGAGGCAUGCAUUUUAAGUGCUCUAAAAUUCAUAUAAAUCCAUUUAGCAUAGAAAUGAACUUAAAAAUAUUUUACAAUAAGUAGAAAGAGACAUAGGGUCAUUUCGCCCAUUUCCCGCGAAGCCAAAACCCCGAUGGCAACGAAACUCCUCGUGCGCGUCCAACGAGGGUGUCCUCUAGUCUCCUAGUACCCUAGAGGUAGAGAAACAUGCGUCACACGAACGAAACGAACCAUCAAUAGCUCAAUCAUUAAGCUAAUCAAGUAUAGUGAGAAGAACUCACCUCUAGUGCAAAAAUCUCCUCUAAAGCUCCAAAAUGAAGCUAGGGCUCAUUCCAAUCCAACCUAAUGGAAGCCUCUAAUCCAAUCAAUCUAGCUUCAAAAAGCCUAGAUUCAAAAUGCCCAAAUAAACCCUAAUAUCACAAUCUAGUGUUUCAUCUCAUGAAAUCCAAUGAAACUCAAAUCUAGAGGAAGAUAGUGUAAUGCUUACCUCUUAGAAGCUUCAAUCAAGCUCUAAAUCCUUUAAAUCCCAAGAUCUAUCUCCACUUAGCUCCAAAUCCAAGCUUCUAGCUCCAUCAAUGGUGGAGAAGCAUAAAAGAGGAAAGAAAAGGGAUUAAUCCUUCAAAAUCUAGGCUAGAGGGAGAUUAAAACAAAGAGAAGCAAAGAGAAGCUCUCCUUACCUUGCUCCCUGCAGUGGCAAGCUCAAAGAAGAGCCCUAGGGCGUGGGUGCUGUUAUAGUAUUGCUACAAUAGCAAAAACCCCUGCAGAACAAACUGCACGAAAUCUGCCUCUUGUACGGUACACGGGCUUUGUACCGGUACAAGGCCGACGAAAUUGCAAACCGAGGCUCGGGUCGCUGCGUCUGCGGCUCUGUACCGGUACAAGCCGAUGGCUGUACCGGUACAACAUCAACCCUUGUACCGGUACAAGGCAGUCUUGUUCGGUACAAGCCCUGCUGCGGCUACUCGGAGAGCUGUCCAAAAAUUCGAUUUUGGAAUUUGGUGCCAAGUCCCACUCCAACAUCCUCGGAUGCGUGCCAGGGGUCGGGACACUAUCAACGACCCUCAAAAACUGUGGGAAAGCUCCAAACACAGAUCAAACACUCGAAUCUUGCGAUUUGCUAAAUCCAGUGUAUUACAUUCACCCCUCUUAAAAGGAGUUUCGUCCGCGAAACUCGAAAGCAAAAGCAUACCUCAAGGCUCCAUCUGAAAAAGAUGGGGAUAGCGCUCUUGCAGCGCACUCUCUAGCUCCCACGUGGCCUCCCGCUCCCCGUGGUUGCUCCAAAGGACCUUCACAUACGGAAUAUCCGAUUCCGCAGCUUCUUCACCUCGCGAGCCAAAAUCUUCAGUGGUUGCUCCUCGAAGCUCAAAUCCUCACGCAGCUCCACUGGUACAGCAUCCAAAACAUGAGCUGGAUCAUGAAUGUACCUCCGAAGGACGAUACAUGAAAGACGUUGUGUACGCCCGAUAGUUCGGUGGUAGAGCAAGUCGAUACGCUACCGGACCUACACGCUCCAAGAUCUCAUACGGCCCAAUGAAAACGGGGCUCAACUUUCCCCGAAUCCCGAAUCCGCGAAUCUCUUGAUUCCUCUAGUCGCGCAAGCUUACCUUAAGAAACAUGGUCUCCAACUUGGAACUCAGUCCCGCUCGUCGAUCUGCGUAGCUCCUCUGUCUACUCUGCCCGUCAAAAGUCGCUCCCGAGCCAAUUCGAACCUUAUCCUCAGCUUCCUGGAGCACAUCAGGGCCUAGAGCCAAACUCUCGCCGACUUUCACUCCAAUGAAGUGGCGAUCUGCACUUCCGUCCAUAAAGUGCUUCGAAGGGCGCCAUCUUGAUGCUUGCUUGAUAACUGUUGUUAUAAGCAAACUCCGCCAUAGUAGAUGCUGCGACAUCCCCCUGGAAGUCUAUCACACAUGCGCGAAGCAUAUCCUCUAAGGUCUGAAUAGUGCGCUCGACUGUCCAUCACUCUGCGGUGGGAAUGCUGUACUGAAAUCCAGCCGGGUGCCUAAGGCGUCCUGUAGACUCCUCCAAAAGUGAGACACGAAGCGCGUGUCGCGAUCAGAUUACAAUCGAUGUAGCGCACUCCAUGAAGUCGCACAAUCUCAUCAAAGGUACACUUGUGCGAGCUUCUCUCCCGUCCAAGUCGUAUGAAUAGGUAUGAAGUGCGCCGACUUCGUCAACCUAUCCACGAUCACCCAAAUAGCGUCAUGCCCGCCUGUGAGCGUGGCAAUCCCGUCACAAAGUCCAUAGUGAUCUCCUCCCACUUCCACACUGGAAUAGGCAAACUCUGAAGCUUCCCCGCUGGAACUCGGUGCUCUGCUUUCACUUGUUGCAAGUUAAGCAUUUAGCUACAAACUCGCCAACAUCCUUUUUUAUCCCAGGCCACCAAUAGAGCACUUUAAGUCCCUGUACAUUUUGGUGCCUCCCGAUGUAUAGCAUAGGGCGCCGGUGCGCCUCUUGAAGAAUUCCUCUUUAAUCCCCGAAUCCGCCGGUACACAAAUCCGUCCGGCGAAACGCAUCAAUCCAUCACCGUCUAAGUGAAGUCACCGUGCAACAUCAACAUUUUCCUUUAAUCUUUUGCAACUCCACAUCAGAAGCUUGCUUUUCUUUAAUCCUGUCCACAAGGUAGCUGCACUACCAAUGUCAUCAACCUCAUAGGCGUGUCAGGAGUCACUAUCUCCAACUCCAACCGCUUCAUCUGCUCGAUCAACCGCGGUUGAGUCACAACAUGCAUCGCCAAGUUUCCAUCGAUUCCUACUUAGCGCAUCUGCCACCACGUUAGCCUUGCCCGGGUGGUAAAGAAUCGUCAGAUCAUAAUCCUUGAGCAGCUCCAACCAUCUCUGCGCUGUCUCAGCUUCAACUCCUUCUGAGUAAACAUGGUACUUUAAGCUCUUGUGAUCGCGUGUAUACUUCACACACGUUCGCCAUAAAAGGUAGUGGCGCCAUAGCUUCAAUGCGAACACUACGGCGCCAACUCCAAAUCAUUGCGUCGGGUAGUUCUUCUCAUAUUCCUUUAGCUGGCAGAAGCAUACGCGAUCACCUUGCAUCCUGCAUCAAUACACAGCCCAAACCAUUAAGUGAAGCAUCACUAUAAACCACAUACCCGCUCCAGCUACUGGUAGGGUCAAGAUCGGGCGGUAGUCAAUCGUUGCUUCAACUCUUGGAAGCUUCGCUCGACAGCAUCAUUCCAGAUGAACUUAACACCUUUAUGCGCGAGCCUCGUGAGGGGAGUAGAUAACUUAGCAAAUCCCUCGACAAAUCUCCGGUAGUAACCGCGCAAUCCAAGGAAACUCCGUAUCUCCGUGACGCUCGUCGGUCUCGGCCAAUCCUUGAUUGCUUCAAUCUUUUUGUGGAUCCACUGCUAUACCUGAUCCUGAAAUCAAGUGUCCAAGGAAGCUACUCUCGAAGCCAAAUUCACAUUUCUUUAACUUGGCAUAAAGCUCCUUUUCCCGAAGUACUUGUGAGUACAAUCCUCAAGUGUUCCUCGUGAUCCGCAUCACUCCGAGAGUAGACCAAAAUGUCGUCGAUGAACACCACGACGAACCUGUCUAGAUAAGGCUUAAAAACACGGUUCAUCAGAUCCAUAAAGAGUGCGCGGGCAUUAGUAAGCCCAAACGGCAUAACUGUGAACUCAAAAUGUCCAUACCCCGCGUUCUAAAAGCCGUCUUUGAUACGUCCUCGGGUUUGAUCUUCAACUGGUGGUAUCCCGACUGCAAUCUAUCUUGGAAUACACACAUGAUCCCUGAAGCUGAUCAAACAAGUCAUCGAUCCUCGGCAACGGAUACUUGUUCUUGAUCGUGACCUUAUUAAUUCACGAUAAUCCACACAAAGCGAAGUGAUCCGUCUCUCUUCUGACGAACAAAACUAGUGCUCCCCAAGGCGAAACACUCGUCGAAUGAAGCCUUUGUCCAACAGAUCCUGCAACUGUGCCUCAGCUCCCUCAGCUCUGCCGGUGCCAUCCUAUAGGGUGCCUUUGAGAUUGGGUAGUCCACGGGAACGAGAUCUACCACAAACUCAAUCUCCCUAUCAGGGGCAUACCCGGUAGCUCAGCUGGAAACACAUCUUGGAACUCGCCGCACACCGAAUAUCCUCAACCCUAGGGCGUCAUCUUCGCCCCUCAGCACAACCUAGCCAAAUAGGCUACACAGCCUCUGCCUGAUCAACUGCCUAGCUCGAGACGAGCUGAUCGUCAUCGCAAACAGCGAACUCCGGCAUCCACUAAACACCACUUCAGUCUGCCCAGAUUUCUCUAAAAGUAACCGUGCGAUUCUGCAAUCAAUCGUGGCAUAAUACUUGGUCAACCAAUCCAUGCCCAAGACCACAUCAAAAUCUCCAGCUUGCGCAAAGCUAGCAAAUCUACGGGCAUGAUCCAAUCUCCUACCCGAAUAGGGCAACUGGGCUAUACUCUCUAAUAUCCAAAAUGUGUCGAUAAACAAACAUCUCCGUAUACAACAAAGAAACAACGAGAUGCCAUGCAACUCGGCAAACAGCCGAUCUAUGAAUGAAUGCGAUGCACCGGUAUCAAAUAAGCACGAACUCUAAUGCCAUCAAGUAAAAUGAUACCUGCAACACAUCCUCGGCUGCCCUCGGCCUCCUCAGUCUGAGCGGCAUACAUGCGCCCACUCGGGGCCCUGCGAGAUCCUCGCUCUGGCGCUGGGAGGGGUCGCCCAGGCUGGUACUGUGUCGAUGGAGUCCCUGGCUAGCGACUGGUAAGAGCCGGUGCGAUGCAGUUCGACGUGCGGGUGAAGAACCUCUCGGGCACUCGUACGCACGUGGCCCUCCUGGCCACACUGGAAAACACUGCCGCCCACGUGUGGAACUGCGGUGGUAGUGGGACCACCGCAGAUCACACACGGGGAAGGCCUGGCGCGAUCGGAUCCUCCUCGAUGCGCUACUGAGCCGCGUCCACGCUGCUGGCUCCUCGGAUGCUUCGGCGACCUCCUUAGAGUGCAUCUGGCUCGCACCCUCAGCCGCAGCCUCUUGCCUUCCCUCUGUCCCUAGCCUCACGCUGCUCCUGGACCUCUGUCGCGCCGCUCUCCACGAUGAGCGCACGAUCCACCACCUCCCGAUAGGUUUGAGGUUAAAGGAUUGCACGAACCGAAAAAUGACGGUCUCAGCCCUCGCUCGAAAAUGCGGGCCUUGUCCUCGUGUCCCGCACGACGAAGGGCACGCAGUGCAGAAGCCGAGAAAACUCUCUCUCGUACUCGGCUACAGUCCUGUCACCUGCGCAAGCUGCGCAGAUCCUGCUCCAUCUUCCUCUUGACGCUGGUCGGGAUGUAGUGCGCCAGAAGAAGCUCCUUGAACUCGUCCAAGUGAUAGAUGCCAAGUCAGUGCGGGGGCUCCUGAAAGUCUAACCACCAGCGGUAGCCUCGCCGUCCAAGUGGUGAGUGGCGAGCCAAACUCUGUCCCUCUCCUCCACGAAAGUGUCGCGAAAGAGCUUCUCCAUAUGCAUCAACCACUUCUCAACGAUCCAGUGGUCGACCUUCUCGCAUCGAAGACUCGGGGACUGCACCUCCUGAACUCAUUGAGGCGCUCCAUCAGUCUAUCUCGCUCCACCCUCAACAAAGUAGGGAAAGCUGCUCCAACCGGGGGCCUCUGCACAGCGGUGCUACCAAAACCUCCUCCUGGGUACGGCCGCAGGCGCCGCACGCGAAGAACUAGGCGCGGGGGACUGCGCUCUCGGCGCAACGUCCACAACUGGUGCUGCGGCGUGUAGGCCCUGCGUCUCCUAGAAGCUGCUGUCUGCUGCAGAAGUAGAUCCCAGGCCUCAUCCGGCCUCCUGUCGGCGCGCGCCUCAGUCUGCUGUCGGGCGCCUCCGCUGCUGAGUGACUAGGUCGGUGAGGGCUGCAAGCUGGCCCUCAACUCACGGACCUCGCUGGAUCCGGAGGUAGCGGAGGUCUCAACCUCCUCGAAGUUUGCCGCAUUGUCCGCUCCGGCAGAUUUGGGAGCGAGUAAUCGGCAUCAUCACUACAACAUCAUAAAAGCGCAAGUUAGUAAAAACCCACGCUAUCGCAUCCCGCUCAAAUAAACAAUACCCAAAUCAUGCGAAAGUAUGGAAGUGCUCUACACUACAACUCCCGAUGUUACGUUGUCGGCCGCCAACGUAACCCCCGCGAAGUUAGGAGUUAUACACUUCAAUUUAACUCCACUUUCUAGAGUUAUUCAGAUACCCAAUUUAGAUACUUUCGCUUACAAAUCGAAUAGACCUGUCUCUCACGAGCCUAUUUCCUAUAGUCCAACCGCCUAAGGUUACUAGGUCCCCUAAGACUCAACCCUAGGCUCUGAGACCAAAUUAAUCUGUCACGCCCGGGACCCAGCGGAAGCCCGCCGGCGCGUGCCCAGAACCCGCCAUAUGUCUUCAACAUAUAAGGCGUCUAAAAACAACAAUAAUAAAAGCAAUAAUAAAAGACAUCUAGGAGUAUCAGAGCAUAAUAAAUGUCUAAAUGCUACAACAAAGAUGAGGAAAAAGCUGUAAAUCACUAAAUAAGGCAUAAAGUAAAUACAAUAGGAAUCCCAAAUACAAGUGCUAAGAGUAGAUACAUAGUGGUCUCUAUACAGGCUACAACUCUCACUCUCUCAACUACAAAAGAAAGAGUAAACCACCUAGGCAAGUAAGCUCCUCGCUAGCUAGCUACGCGAUCCCUGUGCCCGAUCCUGCCUCCGCGUGCGAAGGCUCUGAAAAGGAAACCAUAAAACGAGGGCAUGAGAACUAUUAAAAAUAGUUCCCAGUGGGCAUUACUGACUUCAGUGCAUGCACCACAGGCCCAAAGCUACAAAAGAUGUCAGUGACAAUAAAAGUAGAAACGACAGGUAAUAAAUAUGUAACCUACUACGACAUGAUAUCUCUACUUAGCAUGAAUAGCAUAAGUAUGAAAGCAAACUAUGCAUAAAGUAAAUGUCUCCAACUAUCAUGAUGUUACAAUGUGAAAUAGUGAAGUUCCGUUGUUUACUAUUCUAAUCAAUGUCAAGUAGUAACUAAGUCAUCAUCUGUCCACAUGUCAUAAUGGAUAUAUAUAUAUAUAGCCAAUCUGAAGAACCACCCGAAGGCUGUCUAUGGCCCUGAGACCACCCGUAGGCUGUCUGGCCGGUGCCGAGCCUAAUGGCCCGUGGUAGUCAUCAUCCCCACCCUAGGGAUGAGCCUGUCCACGGCAAUCCACUUCGGCGCCCAAUCCCGCACGGCGAAUAUGUAUCGCGAUGGCUAUCUCCGGAGUGCGGCUUGUAGGGAGCGACCCUCACAAGCAUGUGCGAAGAAGGCAAAGUGGCACAAGAGCAAUCGAGUAAAGAUCUGUCGCAAGUACCAAGUCCUCAUGUCUAAUAACAUGGAAUGUAUCGAGUGUCCCAAAGCCUAUCUCUGUGUCAUCAUUCUCUAACAUCGAAUAUAUAUAGCAGAUGUACAAAGGCCUAUCAAUGUAUCUCUAUGUUGCAGUUCCAUAUGUUCACUAGUUUCGAGUGCCCCUUUAUGACACUCUUGUUUUCUAUGUCAAAAACAUGGCAACUAUGUUCCAAAGCACAUAUUCCAAGUCAUAAAUCCUCAUAAGAGAUGUAUUUUCCAUUACUUGUAAAUAAACACUUUUCCCAUAAUGCAUGCAUUCUACUCAUAUAGCUCUACUAAUAAUGAAAUUUUCAUAAUACUCGAGGCAUGCAUUUUAAGUGCUCUAAAAUUCAUAUAAAUCCCAUUUAGCAUAGAAUGAACUUAAAAAUAUUUUACAAUAAGUAGAAAGAGCAUAGGGGUCAUUUCGCCCCAUUUCCCGAAGCCAAACCUACCGAUGGCAACGAAACCCUCGUGCGCUCCAACGAGGGUGUCCUCUAGUCUCUAGUACCUAGAGGUAGAGAACAUGCGUCACACGAAGAACGAACCAUCAAUAGCUCAAUCAUUAAGCUAAUCAAGUAUAGGUGAGAAGAACUCACCUCUAGUGCAAAAAUCUCCUCUAAAGCUCCAAAAUGAAGCUAGGGCUCAUCCAAUCCAACCUAAUGGAAGCCUCUAAUCCAAUAAUCUAGCUUCAAAAGCCCUAGAUUCAAAAUGCCCAAAAUAAACCCUAAUAUCACAAUCUAGGGUUUCAUCUCUAUGAAAUCCAAUGAAACUCAAAUCUAGAGGAAUAAGUGUAAUGCUUACCUCUUAGAAGCUUCAAAUCAAGCUCUAAAUCCUUUAAAUCCCAAGAUCUAUCCUCCACUUAGCUCCAAAUCCAAGCUUCUAGCUCCAUCAAUGGUGGAGAAGCAUAAAAGAGGAAAGAAAAGGGAUUAAUCCUUCAAAAUCUAGGCUAGAGGGAGAUUAAAACCAAAGAGAGCAAAGAGAAGCUCUCCUUACCUUGCUCCCUCCAGUGGCAAGCUCAAAGAAGAGCCCUAGGGCGUGGGUGUGUUAUAGUAUUGCUACAAUAGCAAAAACACCCCUGCAGAACAAACUGCACGAAAUCUGCCUCCUUGUACGCGUACACGGGCUCUGUACCGGUACAAAGCCGACGAAAUUUGCAAACCGAGCUGCGGUCACGCGGGUCUGCGGCUCUGUACCGGUACAAGCCGAUGGCUGUACCGUACAACCAUCAACCCUUGUACCGGUACAGGCCAGUCUUGUUCCGUACAAGCCUUCUGCGGGCUACUCGACGAGCUGUCCAAAAAUUCCGAUUUUGAAAUUUUGGUGCCAAGUCCCACUCCAACAUCCUCGGGAUGCGUGCCAGGGGUCGGGACACUAUCAACGACCCUCCAAAAACUGUGGGAAAGCUCCAAACACAGAUCAAACACUCGAAUCUUGCGAUUUGCUAAGAUCCAGUGUAUUACACGCAUCGGCCACCACAUUGGCUUUACCGGAGUGGUACAGGAUAGUAAGAUCAUAAUCUUUUAUCAGCUCCAACCACCGCCGCUGCCGCAUAUUCAACUCUCUUUGGGUGAAUAGGUACUUGAGGCUCUUAUGAUCGGUAUACACCUCACAAUGCUCAUCGUAGAGAUAAUGCCUCCAUAGCUUAAGCGGGAAAACGACCGCCGCCAGCUCGAGAUCAUGUAUCGGGUAGUUCUUCUCGUAGCUUUUUAGUUGGCACGAAGCAUAUGCAAUGACUCGCCCAUUUUGCAUAAGAACACACCCGAGACCGGUGUAGGAAGCAUCACUGUACACCACGAAACUCUCUCUCGGUGUUGGCAAAGCAAGUACCGGGGUAGAUGUCAACUUCUCUUUCAACUCUUGGAAGCUUCGGUCGCAACCGACACUCCAGUCGAAUCUUACUCCUUUGUCCGUAAGGCGUGUGAGAGGAAUAGUCAACUUCGCGAAUCCCUCCACAAAACGCCAAUAAUAUCCCCCUAAUCCGAGGAAACUGCGGACUUCCGCCACACUCGUAGGACGAGGCCAAUCUCGAAUCGCCUCAAUCUUCUUUGGGUCUACCGAGAUUUCACUCCCGGAUAUCACAUGGCCUAGGAAGGUCACCUCCGAAAGCCAGAAUUCGCACUUUUUGAGCUUAGCAUAAAGCUUCUCGUCUUGGAGUAUUCGCAACACGGUCCUUAGAUGUUCCUCGUGCUCCUCUUCACUCCGCGAAUACACCAACACGUCGUCGAUAAACACCACGACGUACUUAUCCAAUAACGGUCGAAAGACCCUAUUCAUCAGAUCCAUAAACGCUGCCGGGGCAUUGGUAAGCCCAAACGGCAUCACCGUAAACUCAUAGUGGCCAUACCGCGUACGGUAUGCCAUUUUAUGCACAUCCUUCGGCCGGAUCUUCAACUGGUGAUAUCCCGACUGAAGGUCUAUCUUCGAAUAUACCGGCGACCCUUGCAAGUGAUCGAACAGGUCAUCUAUUCUCGGUAACGGGUAUUUAUUCUUGACCGUCACCUUAUUCAACUUGCGAUAGUCAAUGCAAAGUCGAAGAGUAUCGUCUUUCUUUUUCACAAAUAACACCGGUGCUCCCCACGGGGACACGCUCGGUCUCACGAAGCCUUUAUCGAGCAAGUCCUGUAAAUGGGGCUUUAACUCUUUAAGCUCUACCGGUGCCAUCCUAUACGGAGCCUUCGAAACUGGCACCGCACCGGAAAUCAAGUCAAUGACGAACUCGACCUCCCGAUUCGGUGGUAGUCCCGGUAACUCCGCCGGAAAUACGUCCGGAUACUCACACACCACCCGAAUGUUCCCCAACUCCGGGCACUCCUUUCGAGGGUUCACGAUGGUCGCCAAGUAAGCUUUGCAACCACCCUUAAUCAUCUUUCUUGCCCUCACUGUCGAUAUAGUCGCCACAAAGCACGCGCCUUUACACGCCCGAUACACUAACUUUUCCUGAUUAGGCUCCCGGAAUGUGAUAGCCUUGUUCUCACAAUCUAUGGUCGCAUAGUAUUUAGAGAGCCAGUUGGUCCCUAGGAUCACAUCGAAACCCCACAUCUGCUUCAACACCAAUAGGUCGAUCAGCAUAAUCCAAUCACCUAUUUGUACGGGGCACGCCAAGCACUCGUCUUGAAUAUCAAAUGAGUGCUCGGGAGUAUUCACCGACCAACAUUCCUCACUAGGAGUGAUCUCGAUACCAUGAGUUCUAGCAAAUGAUGCACCUAUACAGGAAUGCGAUGCACCAGUAUCGAACAAAGCUCUAGCUCUAGUGCCUCUGAUGAGGAUAAUACCUGCCACAACGUCGUCGAGUGCGGCAGGCUGCUCCUCCACCUGAGUGGCGAAAACCCGUCCACUCGGUGCACGUGAUCCCUCCGGCUGACGCGGUACUGAAGUGCGCCCAGCCGACAUAGCAGGUGGCAGUCCUCCAAGCUGUCUUGGAGCAUACUGAACUUAUGCAGCUGACGGAGCAGGUGACGCGCCGCCCGGGCAAUCCCAACUCAAAUGUCCCGCUUGGCCGCAUCGAAAGCACCUCCCGUCACGCUGAGAGCAUUCAUGGGGCCUAUGACUUCCACCACAGAUCACACAUGGGGAGGAGGUCGUCUGACUCCUGGACUGGCCUCUGCCACCCCACCACUGUGACCUAAGGUGUCGAGGGGGUCGCUUAGAACUCGACUGCCCCGCGGAUCCACCAGCCGGUCGUUUCUUAGACUUCUCCUUUUCCUUGUCCUUUUCAAAAGCCUCGCGCUCCUCGCGCGCAAUGGCGUUACCGCGCUCCACCCACAACGCGCGAUCAAGUACUUCUUCAUAGGUCUUCAACCGGAGCGCAUGGAUAGUCUUGAAUAUUUUCGGCCGCAACCCGCUCUCAAAGACUUCCGCCCGGUCCCGGUCACCAUGAACCAAGCCGGGAACACAAUCCACCAUGUAAGAGAACUCCCUUUCAUACUCCCGCACCGUUCGGCUUCCUUGCCUUAAUUUGCGAAAGUCCUCCUUGAUCUUCCGCUUGUCACUUUUCGAAAAGUACUCCAUCAGUAGAAUCUUCUGGAAUACCUCCCAAGUCAUAGUAGCCGGAUCCAAGGACCAACCAUUCUUCACUCUCGUCCACCAUGAUCGAGCCGGCCCCUCCAAAUAGUGAGCCGCCAAACGAACUUUGUCCUUCUUGAGGGUGUAGAUAUCCUCGAAUAACGCCUCCAUCACGGAAAGCCACGACUCCAUCAACCAGGGUCUUUCACAUCACCCGCAAAGGUCGAAGGGUUAAACCGCUUGAAGGCCGUCAACGCCCCCAACGACCACUCCUUUUCGGCCUCAAGUACCUCCGGAAUAGGAGCCGAAGAACCAGAAGCCGUCGGAGGAAUAGCCGUCACCGGUGCCGCCGCCACCGGUGCCGCCGCCACCGGAGUAGGUGCCACAGGUGCGGGCGGGUCCUGAGAUACAGGUGCAGCCGCCGCCGCCUGUCGAGCCACCAACUCAUGGAACCGUACUAUCGGCUCCCAUUGUUGUUGCAUAGCCCCGGCCAAAGCCGCUACUUGGGCCCGCAACUCCCGAACUUCAUCAGACCCACCUUGCUCGGGCACGUCAUCAGGCAAUGCCGGAGCAGGCCUACGCGCGUAGCGUCCCGGUGACACACACGUCAAUACUCGACAUCCGAGACUCUUACUCGUUCCAAAUAACUACCCAAUCAAGCGAAAGCAACCAAGCGUGUUUAUCUUCUACCCUCGGUAUUAUGUAGCCGGCCGCCCCACAUAAUACCUUAAGAAGAGAAUAAGCAAACACUUGAGUCCAUCUCUAACUCCUUUUAGAGAAGUUCUAAUUGUGCCCAAUCCAUAGCCUUCGCAUAUCCAAGUCCACGUUAUACGUGUCCUAAACUCCUAUGGUUUCCAAUCCUAUGGUCUCUAAGCACAUCCUAGACUUUUGCUUUCACAUCGCUCUGAUACCACACUAUCUGUCACGCCCCGAGCUCCGCCAAUUUGGUAGGAUUCGAGCACAUGAUAGACGCCGAACGGACAACACCUCCCCUGUUCGCCCAAGGCUCUAACAUCAAGUAUAUUACAAGCAAAUCAAUAAAGAGAAUUGCGAGAUAGACAAGGUUUGCACGAGGGCAAACAACAACAUAAACACAAGUGAAAGCACCUAAGCUAUUACAUUUAUUCAUUCAUACAAGUCAUUUGAUUACCUUCGUAUCAAAUACGAGUAAAACUAUUCUUUUACAUUCAUUUACAAUUACAUCACAUUUAUUUCAACCCAAAAUACAAAUUUACAUUUUCUAUCUUUACAUCAUCUACAGUUCAACACCUACAGUUAAGUACACCAAAAUGUAGGGUAUGCCUAUAUCUCGAGGGCCGCUAGCUACGGCGCAACACCCUUGCCUCGAUCCUCCGGCGCCCCACUCGCGCACGGAUCUGUAAGGUUAGUGGUAAUGAGAACUAGAACGAAGUUCCCAGUGGGUUCGGCCGCCGACCGCACCGAUUCGCCCACUAGGUCUAUUUCAGGCAUAUGUAAUUCAAUAAAGGUAGAAUUGCAAACCAACUAAUGCAACUAUUACAAUGCCUGCAAAACAAAUGUCAGUAGACAGAUAGAUAAUUAAUUUAAUGCAGAUUAUGCACGCAUGUCCAUUUUCUCUUUUCACUUGGCCUUUACCCAAUUCAUCAGGGAUCUAUCUAGAUCACCGCAAGCUCACAUUUCACAUGUCCCAUCUACCGGGAUUAGCAUUUGAUAAUGCCCCCGAGGAACCCAUCCCAUCUACCGGGAUUAGCAUUUAAUAAUGCCCCCGAGGGAUCUUCGCCGGGCACUUCCACCCGUGAUGUCUACACUCCGGAGAACACCGCCUGUGGAGGAGCGACCUUGCACAAGCCGGAACCAAUACAUGUGAGUACAAUCCCAUCCUCAGUUUGAGGAGGUAUAGCCAACCUGUCUCAUUUCUUAAUGCCUCAAUGCCGAUGAAAGGUCUUUAUCUAUUCAUGCAUAUACCACUAUUUUCCAAUGUCACAGUGUCAUUGUGGGUUAAACCUUGUUUAACUGUUCUCUUUCCAUUGCCAAUCAAGUCACUAUAGUCAAUAUCACCAUUGUUUACUAUUGUCCAAGUCCUCUCUCGCAUUAGCAUACACAUAGGGUUCAUAUACAUUCGUUCCUUGCAUUCACUACUCACAUGGUUCUUUACCAAUUUACAAUGUUCUUUAAGCAUCUAAAUGAGAUAUUUAACCAUGCACAUACAUCUCACACAACCCCUAUAUCCAAGAAUGCAACAAUACAAUAUGCUCAAUGAAGUGACUUAGACAUAGAAAGAGAUCCGGUGUUUCCGGACAGCACCCCCCACCUUUAUGUGUUACAAGGAUGCCGUGAUUCUGUUCCCGUGAUUUCUUGACGCUUUCGCCGUGAAUUAUGGCACGACGAAACCAAAAUACCCCUUUUUCCUCGAUUUCUUCGCGUACGCUCGUCGUAUCGCCGAACGGAGCGCACCAACGCGUUUGUUAACCUAUCAAUUAGGUUAGAAUGAGAUCAAUCCCAAGCUUCGACUUCAUAUUUACAAAACCCUAAUUUUGGGUCCCUAUACAACAUCAUCUUCCCCAACAUAGGUUCUUAGCUAUGAGAAACGUGGGGAAAAUACUCUAAACCAUCUUCUAGAAGCAUACUAGAAGGAAAAACCCAAACCCUAGUUCAAAAACCAUGAGAACUCACCUUUGGAGUCCAAAGCUUUCCUUCAAGAGCCUUGCUCUAACUUGUUCUUCACCUUGGAGAGCUUCUUCUCCAAGCUUGCUCCUCCAAAAGCUCUCUUAACCAAACCCUAGGGAGUGAGAGGGAGAGAGGAGAAGAGUUUUAGAGAGAGAGAGGGAAAGGUUUGAGUGUGAGAGUGAGAGCAAAUGAGCUCUCACUCAUGCCCUAGCUCAAAUAACCCUUCACAUGUCACAUUUGCACUUAACCCCUCUCAGUUUCCAUAUUUAUAAACAGCCCUUACUGGGCAAUUCCCGCAGUCGGGGACCGGUCUCUCCCUCAAGGACCGAUUCCCGAGAGCUACCUCGCAGCCUUCGCAGAAGGGGACCGGUCUCCCCCCAGUGCAACCGGUCUCUCACCCAGGGACCGAUUCCCGAGAGCUCGAUUUUUAGGACUUAGCCGAUUUUUCUUCUCUACUCGGCUGAUACACUUUUGGGGACCGGUCUCUCACUAAGGGACCGGUCCCCGAGAGCCAAAAUUCUGGGACUUCACCAGAAUUGCAGUUUCACUCUCUCGGGCCCCUUUAUACUUUAUAUAUAGGCUCCAACACCCUUUUAGCCUAUAGUAACUCAUUCCUUUCCGCGUUCCGCUCGUUUCGACGGAACUCGGCACAACUCACGGGGAAAUGCUAUGUUACAUGGAAGCUUUUCUGGCGGCUGGAAGCACACGGCGGCGGUCGGAGUGCGCGCGGCGUUGACAGGAGCAAGUGCAGAGGCCGCAGGGGUGGUCGUCUAAGGAGGCUAAAGGGCUAGGGUUAGGUUAAGCAUAAGGAAACCCUAGAUGCACUAAUAUACUAGCUGCUACAAUUGCGCAUAAGUCCUUGAAAACUUAGAUUUAGCUACUGCCUCCCUCACAGCGCGUGUAAAUCACAUGUACGCACCUCCACGUCCGAUCUCACGCGAUUCAGUACGUAAAAUAUAGGGGGUUUCGCGUGAGAUACAAAAAUGCCGUUUUGACCUCUCCUCGGAAAACAUGCAAUAUCUAGCGAUUCGUCCGGCGAAUUUUCGAACGGAUCACACUAGUGCGAUCAGCACGACAGUGAAAUCAAAUCCACAAUUUUGUUUCACCCCGUUUAGUCACGGAUUCGUGACGAAACCCGUCCUCUCUCUCCAAAUGGCGAAACUACACACAAAUACAUAUAAUCUACGUAUUUACAGUUUUCUCGAAAACCAUGCAUCAAACCUAAAAUCCAUCAGCGCCAUUGGUUCCAGAAUAGCUGAACUGUUCAAAACGAGCUAUUGGAUUGCUAUGAACGGAGUCCGAUACGCGCCAGAAGUCAACUCUACUCAUCAACCUCUCCGAAAAAUCGGAGUUACUAUUCACUUCAAGUGAUUAGUAUUGAUCGCGUAACAUCUCUGUUUUAACUCGUUUUCCCCCGAAACUUGAUGAGUGCUUUUAUAAUUAAAUUAUACACAAAAACAUCAUCAACAGAGAGUUUAGCUACACUGCCAAAAUCUCAGUCCUUACAGGACCCUACAGCCAGGGUCCGGACCCCGAGAGCAUUUCUAGCUCCAUUAGCUUGGAAUUUUCUCCAACAUGCUCUCCAAGGUCCCAUACACUUGCUUGACUAUUCCGAAGCACUCGGAACAUUUAACAGACCUCUCCAAAUCGUCCAUUACCACACUUUGGUCAAUUUGGCUAAAGUUUGGUAUGACGCACCGAGGAUUCGGUACACUACAGAUUGCGUUAUAUUUUUGGUGAUCCGAACGGAAAAUGUGAAAAUAUAUUCGUACAUACUUUUAUCUCAAAUCCGUUUUAGCUUCGAUAUAUAGGAAACUACAUAACUUUUAUUGACAUUAAAAACACAUUAUUUCAUAUUCUCUCUUUUCUUUUAGUACUAUUUUGCUUACUGUACCUAUUGAUAUAGUAAAUAAAGUUAAAUAAUUUAUUCAAAAUAAUUUAGAAUUUAGAUAAAGUUCUUAUGUCUACAAUUAAAAAAAUAUAAUAAAAUUUCGCCGCGAAGCGCAGGCCUAAACUAGUUAGAUUGAAUCUACAAAUCCAAAAAAAAUGCUAAAAUUGCAAAAGUGAAUGCCAAAAAAAAAAGGAAAUGAAAGCCUUAAUUAAGAAAAAAAACGAACAUUGAUAAACGGAUUUUUUUAUAAAAUAAUUUUCUAAAAUUUUAAUUUGUAAAAUGAUCUUAUCAAAUUUAUAUUUGACAAACUAAUGCUCUUUUCGUCAUGCAAGUUUUUUUUCCGAAACACGGUUAAUUGUUCACUGUAUUCUGAAAGACUCCAAAAUUUUUUAAAGACAGCAAUCGUUCACAACAUUCAUUAAAACGGUUAACGAUUUACCGCCUUCUUCAUAAUUUUUUACUACAUGGUAAGGAUUAUAUAUGGGAAAGAGAAAAAAAGUGAGGUUGUUAAAUUAUACGUAAAUUAUACGGAAAAUAAAAAAAAGUAAGAUUGCUUGGAUUGUUAGAUUAUACGGAAAAUAAAAAAAAGUAAGAUUGCUUGGAUUGUAUAUGGAUUAUUAAAAUUUUUAUUUGAUUAUUAAGGUUGUAUGAAUAGAUUAUUAUGAUUUUUUUAUUGUUAGAAUUAUAUGGAUAUAUUAUUAGAAUUUUUAAGUUGUUAAGAUUAUAUGUGAUGUUUGUGAUGUUUGAUUAUUAGGAUUAUAUGAAUAAAUUAUUAGGAUUUUUUUGAUUGUUAGGAUUAUAUAGAUAGAUUACUAGAAUUUUCAGGUUGUUAAGACUAUAUGUGAUUUGUUGAAAUAUUUAUAUGGUUGUUAAGACUGUGUGAUUUGUUGAUGUUGGAGCCGAAAUUUCCCGACCCUUGACCCGGUCAAAGAUCUUCCUCGGGAAGCACGUCGGGAUGCGAGACGACUGCGAAUAGUGACCCUCGAAGUUUGCGCCCUUCGACAGAUCAAGCAAUUCUGCUGAUGAGGGAUCAGAUCAGCCGGGUUCGAAAACCUCUACAGUAUAAUCGGUUUGGCUGGGAUGAGCCGAAUCCUCGAAACAAGCCAGAAAGUGGGCAGAGAAAAGAGCCGAAUGGCCAGGACAACUCGAGAUCUGGUCGGCCUGAAAAGCCGAAAAUGACUUUCUAUUAAAUGAAACCAAGGAAAUUACAGGGAGAUAGAUUUUUAGUCUACAACGGAGUGAUGCCCGAGGGGCAGACAGACUCCAGGACGCUAAGUUACAGGAACUACUCCUAGGAAAACAGUAAAUGCGAGAAAGAAAGAUGCAGGAAAAUAAAAGUGGUCUUUUGUGCGCAGGGGCGAAGACCCUUUUUCAAAGUAUCAUUGACCUAUUUAUAGAAUCGCCCCUGAUUCGGUUAUUACAUGAUCGGCCAUUACCUCCUAAAAUCUCGAACCACCUUCAGCCGAUCGAACCGCUCGCAACUGCUUGCGGUUGCUGUAACUUCCUAUUGGCGCGACGGUUUUCUUCUUUACUUUUUCGGUGCUCCUGGUGCACGGUCAGAUUAAUGCCUUUGAAAGCGAUUCCCGUCUACCACCUAUCUGUGCCUAAUUGGCUCAACAAUUGCCCCCUCGGCAGCUUUCGAAGCAACGCUUCGAUAGCUGGCGUAAUCUGAGACGCGAUUACUGUUCGAAUUCUUGGUGUUGGUUUCAUCUCAGCCGUCCCUUUUUCGCUGCCGAAAUCCUGUAAUUGCUUCGAUAACAAGCACGAUCCGAGGCGUCAUCCUAGGUCCAAUCACAUUCAAAAAUCUCUGUACCAGUACCAGACGUAAUUCGAGGCGUGACCCUCUGUAUGGUUCAAUCUUAGCCGUUUAUUUUCUUUCUUACGGCCCGAUCUCAAUUUUCAUUUUGUCUCAUCUGCGGCAUUAACUAGGUUAUCUUAAUUACCGCCGUCUACUCAUCAUUAAAGCCGACCUCGAAACUCGCUUCGAUGCGACGGUUCGAUAUGACGGCCUUUCUUCUUUUCCGAGUUUUUAUCUUUUUGUCUCUUCUACUUCUUCUUCGUCUUCCAUGAGACUUUUCUUUCGCUUCCCUUUCCUUCAUCUUCUCUGAUUUUAUUUUCCACUUGACUUUUCCUCUUUUCCUUUUCGACUAAUGGCGUUGGUUCCGCCUCUUCCUUCUCAUCCAUCCCUGGAUUAUACUAUACUUAAACCCUUCGUCGACUUAGACCCCUUUAGGUUUAUUUUGGGUCCUUCACUUACAGAAAUGCCAGCCCCUAUCGACUCGCCCUUUUCUAGCGACGGUCUCCCCCUGAGAAAAGCUAUUCAUCUUCAGUCUUGGUACUCCUCUGCUUCAACAGGAAAGAGUCUUCAAACUUGGCCAAGUACUUCAGAGGCAUAUUUAACUUGGUUAGAUCGAGUAGAAGCCGCCUUUGGUGACUUUUGGCGAGAGGUUGGGAUAUAUGAAGCUAUUCAAUUGUCUCGGCAUCCUCCUAUUGCCGAUAAUCUUCUUCUAGCCGCCGCUCUGUGUUUUUGGUCCCCCCACUUCUAAUAUUUUUCUUUUCAAAAGAGGACCUCUUACCCCCACUCUUUUUGACGUGGCCGCCAUUACUGGCUUGCGCCCUCAUGGCGUUUCUGUUUCUAUGUCUUAUAAUCCUGACGGCGUAUCUGAUCUUGAGGACCGUUUAGACCUCAAUGACUUGACUUGGCUUACUCCAAGUUCAUCCGCAAAUUCGCAGGUGAAUCCCCUGCUCCCGUUACUAAGAAUGAACAUACGGCAUUUCUCCUUUAUUAGUUAUGCCAUAAUCUUUUCUGUACCCGUUCACAGAAAAUUAAUCGUGACUUUGUUCCAAUCGCCAUCAGUUUGUCUAACGGCGAUAGAUUAACUCUAGGGUCUUACUUUCUUGCCUUUGUCUAUAGAGAAAUUUUUGAUUCUAUCAAAAUAUUGCCUUCUGGAGAUGGUAUUGCCAUUAGUUCUGGCUGCGGUGUUUUCUGGUUUCUUCAAAUGUUUUUACAAUUUUAUAUUCCCGCUUUAUGCCAAUCUCCCUUUAAUCCGACUUCGGUUGCUCAAUUCGAUUCUUAUGGGUUAGCUCUCGGCUGUCCACAGCCGAUGACUCUGGGUCAACCCUCUGACUUUCUUACUUAUUUUAAAACUUUUUAUGAGCCGAGUCCUGAAUCGGCUAUUUCUUGGGCUCCCUUUGCUGACCGUCUUACCGGUCCUUCCUGGUUCCUUGCCCGGUUUGAAGCUAUCCGAGAUGAAUUGGCUUCUUCUCGUGCUAGUGAAUACCCAGAGGUCUGGUAUUCCCAUUUGGCUCCAAGAGAUCUUCAUGUGGGGUUGAAAUCACGCUCCAAACUAUUACCAAGCACUGAAGUUUAUUCUCCUCAGUAUGUGGCCCGUCAGUUUGGGUUUGUUCAGCCGAUUCCCGCUCCAUCUAAAUUUUUUACAACUAAUACAGCCGAUCGUCGACCCCCUACUAAAAGUAUAGCCGAAGCUGAUAAGAUUUCGGGUAUGGGAAAUCGUCUUCGUCGAUUCUUUAAAUUAGUGAGCUUCGGGCCGAACUACACAUGAGUUGCUCUUGCUGGUUAUGCUACUAUCUGGGAUCAUUUUACUGACCGUACUCUUGACCUUCUCUUCUUCGGGCAUUCCGAAGAACUAUUCAUCAAGUUGUUUCAGUCGAUCCUCCUGUCUCAUCACCAAGAGAAGAAAUAGAAGAAGCUUCUGAGGUCAGGCCUCUUUCUUCUGUAAUAUACUCACCUUUAUUUUAACUUUCUUUUCAAUAUUCCAAAUACUUAUUUUCUUUUUCUGCAGUCAACUCCAGUUUCUUCAUCGGUCUCAACUUCAGAAAAAAGACCGAUUGAGCCUGCUCAAUUUACUCCUACGCUGCCUUCAAAGCGGCGUAAGUCGGUUGCUAAAAGGUCCUAUUCUACACAUGCCGAAGGUAUUGCUUCGUUUGAUGUAUUAGAGAAAAAAGCUGAAGGAACGCCUUCGGCUCCUAUUCCCGAAGAAACGCCUUCGGUUGAUGUUUCCAAACAAGGCUCUAUUCCUGAUGAGCUCAUUGAGAUUGAGGUAUGUAUACUUGAUUAGUUACUUUAACUCAUAUUAUUUUCUCAACUUGUUUAUCGUUCUUUUAAUAAAACAGUCCUCUCCCGAAAAUAAUUCAAGAGCUCGUUUUGCUUCUUCUUUGAAGGCGCAAAUGGAUAGACAGCUUCGCCGGGAAGCACGUCUUGAAAAGAAACGAGGUAUAGAAAAGAAGAAAACAUCCGUUGCAGAGGCGAGCACGACGCCAUUACCAGGUGAAAUCAUAUCACCUCUUUCUGCCCCAACCCCAACUACAAGGGAUGACAUAGCAAGUGUACCUGUCACGCAAGGUCCUGGAGAAGCGCAAGGCUCUGGUGUCACGCCCUGGUACCGCUACUAAUUUGGUCCGGCCCCGGGCGCGUCGAACAGAUGCCGAACGGACAGGACCUCCCCUGUCCGCCCAAGACUAACCAACAGAUCAUGUAUAAGAAUUUACUCAGGAAUCAAUUCAUAAAUACACGAUCAAGAAGCACCACCAGUGCAACAGCCAAGAGCAAGAUACAAGUAUAGAAACAUAUACAAGUACAUAAGAGAGAAGAUGUUAUCUAUUACAUUCAUUUAGCUCAAUACAUUUAAGUACGUCUUUUACAUUCUUCCAAAAACAUAAAUACAAGCACUCAAACCUCACCCUAUACAUCAUCUACUCUCAAAUACAAAUAAGGGUAGAGCUAACACAAAAGGGUAGGUGGCUAAUGCAACUAAGGCGCCGAGCCCUUACCGCGAUCCUCACGCUCGCCCGGGAAGCUCGAACUCGGACCUGUAAAAAGUGGGGUGAGAACUAACUUCCUUAGUUCCCAGUGGGUUCGGCCGCCGACUCCGCCGGUCUCCCCACUAGGUCCAAGUGGGCACAAGUAGAUAUACCGAUAUAUAGAUAAUAAGAAAAGCUGUAAGGACAGGAAAGUAAAGCUACACUACUAUGCCCAAUCAUAGAUAUAUGAAUGCAUGUCCAAUGAAAUGGUAAGCAACUAACCUGUCGUCAUGUCAAAAAGGUAAAGCUAUGUACUUGUUCAUUAAUCUCAUUUACUAGUUUCUUAAUCCCGUGGCUUCUCUGAAAACUUGCCUACCGCUCACUAGCCAUCUCGAAGGUAGGGAGGGUCAACUCGCACUACGAACCGAGACCGUCUGCCGGGGCCCAAAAUAGGCAAUCCCUUGGGACCCAAAAUAGGCAAUCCCACGUGACCAACUCCGGAGCGCACUACUUGUGUGGGGCUUCCAUCACAAGAUUUAAAAACAGACCGUGAGCAUGAUCCAAUCCUCGUCUCGAGAAUACCCUAUCCUCUAGGGUUACAAUCAUCAUAUAGUCCAUAGGCGUCGUAUACACCAAGUUCAACAUGUAUCACUUGUUUCUUAUACACUAUUAACUAGAUUGCCACUCGUCCAUUGUUUACUAUCGACUAGAUGCCACUCGUUCUUUGUUUAACAUUAGACCAACCAUUGAGCCCGUCUCUUUCUUUGCACUAUAGGAUUCACAAUCUCGACUCAAUCCUUACCGAUCCACUAUAUCAAGUAUCCAAUACAUGCUACGAUAUCAUCAAGGAAAGCAUAAGGAAAGGCAAUGCACAAUCAUCCUAUAAUGCAAUAAUACAAGAUGCAAGAAUCGAAAUGUACUAAGACAUAGAAGGGGGCCCAGUUGCUUCCGAAUGGUCACCACCCACCUCUAGGCGAUGCCGUGACGGUAGAAAACUCGACGCUGCGGUCUUGCGUGUCGCCCUAGCUCCUCGGGGCGAAGCGAUCCCUCAAGUACCCGAUUCGGCGAUUUCUCCGCACCCGCUCGUCGGAUCGAGAAACCGACUUCGCCGACACGUUCCAGGAUCUAGCAAUUAGGUUUGCGACCUAUUAAAUUAGAUCAAAACCUUAGUUUUCCCAAAAUCCCACAUUGAAGCCCUAGGUUUCAAAAAUGGAGAAAUCCGCGGUGCGAGCUUCGAUUUCGAGCUCGAACCAUCUCCCUAGCUUCAAUAGGUUCCAUUCGAACCAUUUCUAAACAACAAAAACCCCAAACCCUAGAAAUACCAUUAGAGGGUCUAGAGCUUACCUUCAACUCAAGGCUCCAAGCUUGCUCUAGCUUGAAGGAGAGGGGAAGAAGAUGAUCUUCUUCUUCUUAUUGAUCUUCUCUUUCUCUUUUCUCUUCUUUUCCUUCUUCUUCUUCUUCUCCUUCUUCUUCUCUUUCUUUUCUUUCUAGAAAGAGAGAGGGAGAGAGUGUGAGAUGGAGAGAGGCAAAUGAGAUGAAGAAAGGGGUCCCCAAGCCUCUAAUAAGGCCAUUUUGCAAUUAGCCCCCUUAACUUUUCAUCUUUAGAACCAGCCCUCUCAGGGCAUUUUCGCAGUGAGGGACCGGUCCCAGUUCCGGGAGACCGGUCCCCGAAAGCUGCACAGCCAGGCAGAGGGGAUUUCGCGUUCGGGAACCGAUCCUUGCCUGAGAGACCGGUCCCCGGGAGACCGGUCCUUGUCCCAGAGAUCGGUUCCCCAGAGCUGCAUUCUCGGGACUUAGCCAAAUUUCAGCUAGUCUUGCUGAGCCAACGUUCGGGAACCGGUCCCUGCCUGCCAGGGACCAGUCUCAUCAGAGACCUCCGUAGCCCAGCCUGAUGGGACCGGUCCCUCCCUGCCAGGGACCGGUCCCCGAGAGCAUUUCUGCUCCAGUGCAAGUUUUGCACUGGUGCUCUCGCGGACCUUUCCUUAAUGCACUUUAUGCAUUAUAGCUACCUUCGGACUUUCCGAAGCCUACACGCUCGACAAAUAGUCGAUUCUAAACCGAAGUCUAAUCCUCGGAUUUCGAGGAUUCACUUCCUUACAUCUGGAGACACAAGCACCAUACCUCCUCUUCCAACUCAUGGGACUUUCCCUUCUGCUCCUGAGGAUUCUCUAAUUGCUACUCUUCAUUCUUUACUGGUUUCAAGUCCCAAUUCCAAUGAAGGGGAUGAUUCUUCGACUAUUAUUUUCUCAUCAAACACUCAACGUAAGUUUGAUGAAUGUCUUAGAAUAUAUAGCAAUGGUCCCCCUUGUUUAGCUCAAAAUCCGGAGCUACUUGAUCGGCUGUACGCUCUCUUAAUCGAUUUGGCUAAACAAACAGAUAUUACUUCUAGUAUUAAAUAUUUUGUAGAGACUCUGUCGUCUCAACUUUCUUCUUUUUUGUAAGGACUGAGAUUUUUGCAGUGUAGCUAAACUCUCAGUUGACGAUGUUUUUGUGUGUAAUUUAAUUACAAAAGCACUCGUCAAGUUUCGGGCGAAAACGAGUUAAAACGGAAAUUCUACGCGAUUUCCAAGUUUCACUUAAAGUGAAUAGUAACACUACAACAAAAACGGUAUAUAGCGACACUUUUAAAUGUCGGUAUAGGUCAAAAAAAGUGUUGCUGGCUAAAUUACCGACACUUUUUAAAAGUGUUGCUAUAUGUGGCGUCGCUAGGUAUAUAGUGACACUUUUUAAGAGUGUUGGUAUAACCUAAAAAGAGUGCUACUAAUAUACCGACACUUAUUUAAGCUUUUAGCAGCACAUAAAAGUGAUGCAAAAUAAUAUUCUAGCAACACUUUUUUUUAAUUUCAGCGACACUUUAUAAAUGUCCCAUUUUUUUUAAAUAUCCAAAUUUUUCUUGAUGCAUCACACUUUUUAAAAUAUAAUACCACUCCACGAUGAUUAUCAUUAAGCAUAUCUUUAAUUUUAUUCGCCUUGAUUUGCAUUAACAAAGAAAGCAUAUAAAAGAAGUUUUGUAGUUAUACUAAUUAAUACAAAAAUAUCUCAAGGUAUUAUCCAUAUAUCUUUAAACGAGUAUUUAGUCACUAAAUCACAGUACCAACAAUUUCUAGCUUUUCAACCCAAGAGAAAGAGAAAUGAAAACAAAAGCUAAUAAUAUCAUAUCAGAUCUAGUCGUAGUGAGUCGGCAAUUAAGAUUUGACCCUACAAAUAAACAAAUACUGACAGUGAUAAAGAUUUCAAAUAGACCUUUUUAACAUAAAAACCAAUUAUAUAAGUUUAAUAUUUACUAAAGGCAAUAGUUGUGGAUGAAAUAAUUUAUAAAACGAGCGCAGAUGUCUGACAACCUUAAACAAAUAAAUUUUUUAGUAUUAGCAUAAUCAUAUUCAUCUAAAAAUGCAUUUUUGACAAUUGAGCAUGCUCACGCCCGCGGGCCGAUUUUAAAAGCCUUUUUAAAAUAUGAUGUUUGCGGAAACUGCCAUUUUUUUUUUUUUUUCAACUCUGGCGCCACUCGACGUCGAUACAGGACGCCGCCCACAAAUACAAAGUUCCUCCCACUCGGACAGAGUCUCCUUUGUUGUUUCACGCGUACACGAUAACAACAGUAUCACAACCCACAAUCACAUUGUUCCAAUCACAACCAAGGCAUAUAUGCUUUCCUACAAGCUAAAGAUCCCUAAAAUGCUCAUUGCCUCUAAGCACUCCUUAGGCGCUGGAUGAUGCAAUGCACAAUACAACAAACAUCCUAUUUAAAAGUGCUCCCCACACGGAAGCUUUUGUUUUUAAACUCUAAUUCAUUCAUUCAUAAAAACCAUUCGAAAACCUUUUUAAAACUGUUUCCCACACGGAAACUCUAUUUUGAAAACCGACUACCUCGAGGGGUAGAAAACCACGAUAUGUAAAUACAAGAAAAUCCGAUAUCCAUAAAAUCAAUAUCCAAAUCCACAAACCUUAGUUUACAUGCAUAAAUAACGAAAGCAUCCCCAGAUCUACCAAAACCAGAUCACCAACAUUCAAACAAUCAUAAAGAUCAGCUAACUGAACCAUAUAAACUAUCUAAACUAUAUCAACAGGACAGUAAGGGUAAAAACUAGACCGAAUAACCUGAGUCGGAAGCUCUAGCAACCACUACGAACGUGUCUCGCGUCUCGUCUCAACUCUCACUGCCGGCGAUACCUGAAAAAUAGUGGGGGAGGUGAGAACAUGUAAACAUGUCUCCCCUCCCAGUGGGUACCGCAAGCCGAUGAAGGCGAGGAGUACUCACCGGAUCAGGAAGAGCUAAACAACAGUACGGGUCAGUAGAAAUGCAGUAGCAAUAAUAAUGAAUGAAAGAGACAUAUAUAUGAAAGAAGUAUAACUAUCGCUACUAUAAUGGACAACUGAAUGUAUACAUGUAACAAGACUAUAGUAGCAAGACAAUGUAAUGAAAGAACUGAAGGUAUACAGGCAACAACCGCUACUAUAGUUAUAUGCGUCAACCGGACAAGGAGUCCAAAUAUACCCAAUCUGGUACCUGCUAUAUUGGUCCGCAGACCUCAAGCGCUGCCUGUCACUAACCUGCACUGACCUGAUUCACCCGCCCCACAGGACGACCCAUCCGGAUAAGUACACCUCCGAUCGGUGGCCAAACCGAUCCGGUGUCGUGAAUACCCCCAAGUGCUGUGACUAAGUCAUGAUGGUAUGCUCAAUACAAAAACCGGCUGAAACCGGUGCCUAGGCCGAAGCCAGAAACAAGGACGUACAACGCCGAACCUCGAUCAACCAGAUCGAAACACAUGACGAGAGAGUCAAUGUGUUACCUGGACCCAAGGUCCACAAAGUCCAACUGACCAGCAAGGUCACUGAUACGAAGUACGAGAACUGACCAACCAGGUCAACAGAUGCGGAAUGCACAACCAACCAACUAGGUCAACAGAUACUGAAUGCAACAACAGACCAACUAGGUCAACAGAUACAGAAUGCAACAACAGACCAACUAGGUCAACAGAUACGCAUGUAGAUAGAACUACUCUACUCCUACUCAGGAUACUAAGUAUGCAAACAACGAGCAGAGUAUAACGAAUAAACAAGGGUGCAAGGCUCAAUAUACUAUGCGAUAGUAACAACAGAAGAGCAGGGGUAAGAAACCGUCACCAAGCGUGCACCACUGUACCGACGUCGGAUCGAAGUACCCACCUAUACGGAUGUCGCGUCUAUCUCCUGACUGCAAAAGAAUGUCGACAGGACCUAACCGAUGACACCCGUCACACACCCUCAAACAUUACUGGCGACCUGACUAACAGGUACCAGGCAAUCGAAAGCGCCUUUAGCCAUCCAGCUAAAGCCGCGCAAAAAGCCGCUUUAAGCGGCUUUCUUGCGCCAAAGCCAAGCCUAAGAAAGGCUGCCACAAACCAACGAAGCACAAAACAGCAACUCGGAACAACCGACCAGUGGUAGUAGUAAAACACCCGAGCUACUACUAUCCACUCGCUGCCUCCCAAGGCCACAGCUUUAUCUGUGAAGGCCCUUGGGCCUAAGCAUGUUAAUAGGCCGCUAUUAACACAUCCCCACAAUAGAACACAAACGACGGUUUUGUAGGUUUAACCUCACAAAACCCCGUCGUCCACUGAGCACUGUGCUCAGCCACUCAAAGCCCUGUGAAUCACCCAGGGCUGCCGCAGGGCCACACCAAAAGCCCUGAAGGCCGCUCAAUGCCAUUAGCCAUAACCCUUUGGCUAGAAGCACCUUAGCAAACACCCCAACACCUAUGACACUAAUAAUCAACACCCAAUCUAUGAUUGGGCCACCUGGGAGANNNNNNNNNNNNNNNNNNNNNNNNNUGGCUCGGCGGCGGCCGGGGCUCAGCCGGCGGCGGCCGGGGGUGGUGUAGCAAGGGCAGGGGGAAGGGUGAAGGUGGCUGGGGCGACUAGGGUAGCUGGGGGCUGGCUAGGGUUAGAGUUAGAUGGCUCCAAACCCUAGAGAGCUUAAAUACAAAGGUGCAACAUCGCAAAUAAGUCCACCGAACCUCAGUUUUUACAACUGAGUCCCUCACAGCGUGUGUAAAACACGUGAACACCCCUCUAUGUGCGAUCCCACGCGAAACGGUACAUAAAAUAUCGCGACUUUCACGAAAAUACCAUUUUGCCACUACCGUCCUCUCCUCAAUCAACGCGCGAUCUCCGCAGAUCCGUCCGUCAGAUUUGCGAACGGAUUGCACCGGUGCGAUCAACACCUCGGAGACAACAAAGCUGCGAUUUCGUUUCGUCUUGAUCGACCACGGAUUCACGACAAAAUCCAACCUUCUUCGAAUAGAAGGAAACACACACAAAAAUACAUAUAAAACAUGUAUUUUUGGAUUUUCUCGAAAUCCGUGCGUCAAAACCAAAAUCCGUCAGUGCCAUUAGCUCCAGAACAACUGACCCGGUCGAAACGAGCUAUUGGACUGCUAUGAACAGAGUCCAGUACGAGCCAGAAGCCAACUUCUCACCGUGGCUUCUCCGGAAAAUCGAGUUACUAUUCACUUUAAGUGAAAACUAAUAAUCGCGUAACUUCUCCGUUUUAGCUCAGUUUCUCCUGAAACUUGACGAGUGCUUAUGUAAUUAAAUUACACACAUAAACAUCAUCAACAGAGAGUUUAGCUACACUGCAAAAAUCUCAGUCCUUACAGAGCAAGACAUUAUUUAAGUGACAGAUUAUCAUACUCAAAAUGCAAUUUAAUACAUGCAUUUCCAUUUCGUAUACAAGUAGUAAUUAAGAUGGUGGCUCCCCAAUCGAUUGCACUUAAUAAUUCACUUACCAAUGGAUGGAAAACAUGAAAUCAAUUAAGUUAGAGCUGAAAGCAAUUAAUCAGAUUUUGAUUAAGAGAAGAACAAAGAGAAGCAAAAGAACAAAGAGAUGCUGAAAAUUUUGAGUGGUUUCUAAUCCUUGCCUUACAUAUAAUCAAUAAUACAAUAUAAUACACCAAAUUUAUGCCAUAACUCAGGAGAAUAUAUUCUUUACAGUUCAUAAGCAUUAAUAGCAUUAAUACUAGCAAUAGCAUCUAUUACAUAAUAUGAAUCCUCAAUAUUUUUGCCACGUGGCACCCCCUCCCUCACCCUUUUACUCCCAUUUCCCUUCUUUCCCCGCUAUUGCUAAUUGUCACCUCCAAUAAAUAAAUAAAUUUAUUAAUUUUUUAAUUAAAAUUAACAAUCCUUCAUUACCUAUUGGGGGCAUUUAUUACCCUUCAUUUUUAUCCUUACCGUUACAUCCCUCCACUACCUAUAAUAAAUAAAUUUACUGAUUUUUUAAUUAAAAUUAACAAUCCUCCACUACAUAUUUAAGACAUUCAUUUCUCUUCAUUUUUACCCUUACCGUUACAUCCCUCCACUACCUAUUUAAGACAUUUAUUUUCUUUCAUUUUUAUGCCUAUAUAAUUAAAUUAAAUGCCUACUUUCAAUGAAUGAUUCUUCAAUGUAAUUGACAACUUCUUCUCAUAUCUUGGUGAUGCUUUUACUGUCUACAAUUAGUUAGUAUUUUGGGUUUCUUUUUAAGACUUCUAAAAUUGAGUUUUUAUUGAUCGUCGUCUCCACCAAGUGUGGGCACUAUGCCGACAGGUUCGACUUUAGAGCCAAGCACGUGUCGCGCGGCGUCGACGAGAGUCUCACCCGCCUCAAGCUCGACUAUGAUUUGAUCAAAAAUUUCUAUAUUUCUCUAAUUUAGUUUUCUCGAUUAUGAUUUUUCAGAAAGUUUUUUUUUGGUAUUUUGUUUGAACUUUUUUGUUGGAAUAAGAGGAAGAUAGGAUUUUAUUAAAAGAUUUAUUUUUUUUACCUGAAGAAACAUAAAGUGUAAGCUUAUAUUUUUAUUUUCUUCAUAUAUAUAUAUAUAGUAGAUAAUCUCUCUUGCUUUCUUUGUAGAUGUAGAUAAUUACGGAACCAUGUAAAUUUCAGAUUCAUUCAGUUUCUAACGGUAUAAUGGUAAACUAUCUUGAUUUUUAUAUUCAAAGUUGAGUAUUUAAAACUCAAAGUAACUCACAAUAGGUUUUGAGGCUCUUUUGUGCUGUAAUUUAUGCAAGAAAAUUUAUACUUUUAUUUUCUGGGUUUGCAGUCUAUUUUGAGUUAAUUGAAAGUUAAUGUUGUCUAUUUUAAAAAUCUAUUUGGCAAAGUAAUUGGUGUUUUUAUUUUUAUUUAUUGUUCUGUUUCCUUUCUCUAUCUGUCUUUAUGCUAGAAUAAAUAGAUAUUUUGAAGAUCAUUACAAAAUGCUUUGAUUAUUCUAUAGGCUGUGUCAUGCUAUGAAGAUACUUCUUUUUUGAGAGGAAUUGGGGAAGCGUCAGUCUUGAUGGUUGGCUCCUGGAAUAUUCUUCCAGAUUAUUAUUUUCUCUUGAUGGUCUACUUCUCAUGUUAUUGUCCUAUUCUUUUUGUAGCAUCAAAAUAUUUGUUUCGUUUUUUCUAAUUUUCCAUUCGAUUAGUAGUAUUUCAUUCUAUUUCAUUUGUUUAAGGAAUGGAAUGGUAGGCUGUGAAGUAUGCACAACAAAAUAUUAAUUUGAAUUGCUUUCUUCUUCUUUUUUUUUUCUUUUUUUUUUAAUGUUUGAUUUGAUAUGGCGACGUAAAUUGAUUCAAAUUAACCUGCAGAGAUUAAUUGACGAUAUGGAACGUUCCAUGGACAAUCCGAGUCGAUCCGGUAAACUGCUAGGAAGGUUCCUUUGAUUUUUCCUCCUUAGCAGUGCAAUUCAAUUAUAUCUGAAGCUGAGAAGUGAUUUUUUUUUCAAAAUUUUGCAGUGGCCUCUCCUAUUGUCUUUGCUUUUAUUGCCUGUCACUCAAGUUUUUGUAUUGGCUAUAGCUCACUGCAUAUAACUAUUACUUUUGUUGAUAUUUUACUCUUUCUAAAAUUUUACUACAAUGCUCUUCAUUGUGAACUAAUAUUUUAAUACUGGCAUACUAUAAUUUUAUUUACUUAUGUUCAUAUUUUAUUAUUUAUAAAUUUUUUACUUUAGCAGUAAUUACCCGCCGCAUCGCGCGGGUACCUACACUAGUGUUCCUCCAUACACUAAUACUGCAAAUGAAAACUUAAAAACCAAAGAGGUAUUAACUUGUUAAGGAACAGAAAAAAAAAAGAAAAAAAAGUCUUCUUUAAGCACCAAAACUGCAAUCAACAAAUAAUGUAAUAAAACCACUGCACUAAGUACACAAAAUAUUGCGGCCAAAACCUAUUUUGGACCCAAUAAUCUUGUAUUCAAUUGUUUCAAUUUUACCAAAUUAGAUACAAUCCACACAGCAAAGCCGCAAUUAUCAAAUCAGGAACGAGCUAAAACGAAACCAAUAAAACAUGUAUUAAGCAAAAGAACAAAGCGUUCAACACUAACAAUUUCAUUUGUACUAAACAAAUAUACGAUCCUGUGCUUUGCUUCCCACACUUGGUGCUACGAUAACAUGUGCCAAUUGAUCAUUUGGAAGAGUAAUUAGAUCAUGAAAUACUAAAAAGGGCCUUGAUGCCAAAAGUUUUGUCAAACUCCCUUAACAAUAAACAUUGACCACCGAUCUAUCUUUCAGAGUAGAAAUACAAUCCCUCUUCCCGUAUCUAUAUUUAUAUUCAAAGGACCAUCACAAAUGUAUAUACUGCGUCCUGCUAAGUCUAAUUAUAAAAGUAAAAUAUAAAAAAGGUAACUUAUCUCAAUGACAGGAAGAAGAAAAGGUCGUAAAAAAUGUUAUACAAUGAUCAUAACUUUAACAGUGUACUGUUUAACUAUGGAAAUACUCUAUAUUUCUCGAGAAAAGAAAAGAUUUGCAAAACGGUGAGUUACUUCAAAAGGAGAACUGUUAAGACAAAAAACAAAAAAAUCUCUUUCUAGAUCAAUAUUCCAAACUUCAUGCACUUUGAAGACAAGCAAAAAAGAAUCAUGCUAAUUAUUGAAUAAUUUCACAGUAAUAAUAUCGGCCUAUCACUUUGAUUUUAAAUAUAAAGCCUUACGAUGAGUACAAAUAUAUAGAUUGUUGGAGAACUCUAACAAAGGCCAACAAAAGAAGAUAAUUAUAAUUCAUAUGCACAAAAGUAUUAUAAACCUCAUUGUCAUAGUAAAAAUUAGCUCAUCUAAACAACUACACUAUGAUUCAUUAGCAUAACUAUUACAUUCAUCAAGAGUUGUUCUCUCAAUAUCUGUUCUAACCCAAAAAUGACUAUCCCGUGGGUUAUCAAGCAAGUCUUCUAGAAGUGAAACAUGAUAAUGUUCAUAUUUCACAUCUACCAAAUUGUCGUCACCCAUGUCGUAAACAUCUCUAGGCUUGAACUAAAUUUCCUGUUGCUAAUUUCUUAACCUAUGCCUGCAGAUUUCUGUUCUUGCAACUAAAUUUCCUGAUUUAAAGGUGUUAAGGAGCUGUGAUCUACUACCUCCCAGUUGGAUCUCUGUAGCUUCGUAUGGCCUUCUCACCUUGUUUUGUUAGUACUCUUUUAUUAACCAAUCUUUUUUUUUCAUUUUUUUCAGUACAGAAUACAGAAUGAAAGGACCCAGACUUCACAGCGAAUGGAAAUGGAAGAGCAGGAAAUGUAAUUAAGCGACAAUUUGUAAGAUAUAAAAAAGAUAAUGGCGUCGAGGUGGAAUAGCAAACCUGGCCGUGAACUUUUGAAGCCCGAUUCAACUUAAUUAAUAGCUGUUAUCUCAGUCACUCACAAAGUUAAAAGGAAAGAAAACGAAUAAGCAAUCGUACGUAGAUCCAAACUUUGUUUAUUUGCUUUGUAUUUAUUGUCGAAUCAUAUUAGUGGGGUCACCAGGGGAUCGCCAUGCCUUAAUUACAAAGAGAAGUUAGAACCAGCAUUAUAUAUAUAUAUUCGAGUUAUUUUUGCUAAUGUCUAAAAUGUGAUCUUUUAUCAACUUCUCAUAUUUGUUUCCAUAUAUAUGGGUGCUUAAACUAGCAUUUGGAAAAACAACGAAAUCUUACAAAGUCACUGAAAAGUUUGGUAGGAAGUGUUUGGUUAAUUGAGGGAGGUGCUAUUUGUGAGUGACAAAUGAUAUCUUACAAAGUCACUGAAAAGGACAAGGACAUGUUUCUGGAGGUGAUGAUGUCAAAGUCCAAAGAAAUCCUUCAUAAAAACCAGAGAAAUUUUGUAAAGCAAAAGGCAUGAUACUCUGUUUUGGGGUCUUUGGCAAACCCUUUAUCCUGCAAAAAGAAUCCCUCUGCUGUUUGAAACUGUAUUGUGGAUCUUCCACACUGCAAUAUAUUAUCUUAAAAACAAGCCCAGCAAUUAGAGGGUCAAGAGUAAUUGGAUCUGUCCUUGUCCUUUUACAAAGGAGGCAUUUGUUAUAAUUGUUUACAAACUACAUGUUUGAUAGAUUUAUAUAAAUAUAUUUUUCCAGUUAACUGCAGGAUGAACAACAUACUACACACUUCAUCUAUCUUCUAACAAGCUCACCAGAUUUACAUUUGCCAAUCCAAUAAAUCGAAAGUUCGCAACAUAAUUGCACAUAUUUCCACUACCUGAACUAAGCAAAUAGGAUCAUCAAAAGAAAAUAAAAAACAAAACAAAACAAACUCGCAACAUAUCAAAAUUGGUGAAACAUUAAUCUAUAUAAAUGGAGGAGAUUGAUCAUGAUGUGGGCAAAAGGAUGCAAAAGCAUUUGCUGUCACAAGUUAAUAUCCACCAGCGCCUCACAACACAUUCUCAUAAGAAUUAUAGAUCUGAAUAUCUUCUUAGUUGCACACAUAAUGCACCAAUUCUAGAUAGAGUUAAAACUUCCUACAUUCCUGACUAAGUUACAUUCGAAAAACACACCGAUAAGAACAAGUAUUAACUAGUAGAGCAAUUGAUUUGAACGAAACCCCCAAUUAUAUUGAUCAAAAUAUCUCAUACGAAACCAAAUGGGAGCUGAGGGAGUUUCCCUUAAUUAUAGGUCAUUAAGGGAGGUAAUCCAAUAUCCAUACCAGUUUACCUCGUCAUAAAAAAGCAUACGUAAACCAUGAGAAAUAUACAAAAGUACGGCCAAAUAGAAAAGAUGCAAUGAAUGGAAGCUAAAACAUAAUAGAUAAUUCAUUUGUUGAUGAACAAUGCAUAAAAUACUUAAUUUAGCAAAUUAAUUCACAGGUCAUCCAUAAUUUUCAAUGGUUUUUUUGUCAAAAUUCAUAUAUAACAGUAGCGAACAACACAGAAAUAGUGGAGCAACAAAUAAUUCGUGAAAAAUCUCUAAAAUUUCUAAAAAAAAGAAAAUAUAAAAUCGGAGAACACAGUGACUAUGCCUUAGACUUGGUGGGGAACGAGAACAAGGCGAGGUCGAGGGCGAAGGGAGGAGCCCAGGAUUUGGGUGGUACGAUGCGGCAGAUCCCGAAGGGCUCAGCGAGGGGCCGGAUCUGGUCUAUGUAGGCGAGCGGGUCCACGAACUCCUCCUCCGUGGGGUAGAACACGGGAGCGUGGGGGAUGCCGACGCCGCCGCCGCCGCCGUCGCCGCCGCCGUAGGAGGCGGCGGCGGCGGAGGAGGAGGCGGCGGCGGCGGAUGAAGGGUCGGAGAGGUGGGCGGCGCCGCCCUUCACGACGUCGCGGGGGCGACCCUUCGCCAUCUAGGGUUUCGGUUUGCGUUGGCGCGGGGGGGAAGAAGCUCGGGUAGUUGGAGGAGGAGAACGAUAGAGUGGAUUUUAGUGGAGGAGAAUGAUGCGUCACGUGAGAGACUAUAUGGGUCGAGGUGGAAGGGGUUCGUGGAGAUGGUGAUCGGAGAGGGGAGAACGGGAGAUAGCUCGUGACUCAGUUUUUUUUUUUUUUUUAAGUAAUUGGGCCGGGUGGGGUGGGGUGGUGGAGCAGGAUAAUUUUUUUGUAGGGCUAGAUUGGGCUUCAUAUUUGGGCCUUGAUUAUUUUUUUUAAAAAAAAAAUUGGAUAUAUAGGACACUUGUAUAAAAGUGUCCCUAAAAUGUGUCACUAUAACCUAGUUUUGUUGUAGUGUAACUCGAUUUUUCGGAGAAGCCACGGUGUGAAGUUGGCUUCAGGCUCGUAUCGGACUCCGUUCCUAGCGGUCCAAUAGCUCGUUUCGACCGGUUCAGCUGUUCUGGAACUAAUGGCGCUGACGGAUUUUGAGUUCGACGCACGGAUUUCGAGAAAAUCCAAAAAUACAUAUUCUAUAUGUAUUUAGGUGUGUUUUCUUCUGUUGAAAGGAAGGUUGGAUUUUGUCGUGAAUCCGUGGUCGAUCGAGACGAAACGAAAUCGUAGCUUUGUUGUCUCCCUCGUGCUGAUCGCACUGGUGCGAUCCGUUCGCAAAUCUGACGGACGGAUCUGCGGAGAUCACGCAUUGAUCGAGGAGAGGUCGGUAGUGGCAAAACGGUAUUUUCGCAAAAGUCGCGAUAUUUUAUGUAUCGUUUCGCGUGAGAUCGCACGUGGAGGGGUAUUCGUGCAUUUUAGUCGUGCUGUGAGGGACUCGGUAUGAAUUACCGGUGUUUGGUGGACCUUUUUGCAAGUUGCACCUUGUAUAUAUAAGCUCUUUAGGGUUUUGUUUCACCUAACCCUAACCUAGCCCUAGCCAACCACCCAGCCGCCUCCCUCUCCUUCCCCUGCACCUGCUGCGCGCGCCCAGGCCGCCGCCGACCGAGCCCCGGCCGGCCAACCACCGCGGCAGCCACCACUUUCCUCCCUCGCCCUCUCUUUCUCUCUCCCUCUCUCCUCUCGGGUUGUGUGGAGGCUCGGGGCUGCGCCACCUUUAGACCCUCCCCCAGGGUCGCCCCGUGCUCCGGCACCCCUUCCCGCCGGUCGCCGUCGCCGCCUCGGCCAGUUGCAGCCGCCCCAGCCCGAGCCCAGGCCGAGAGUUUGUUGCGACCUCUUUCCCGCGUCGCCGCCAUCUUGGGCCACCCCGAGGCACUUCUCCGGCCUACUGCAACCCGCCGCCGACGUCCCCGACCUACCCCAGCCGCCGCCAUGGCCGCAGCUUCCUUGGAACCCGAGCCCGAGCUCGUGUGGGCUGAGCUUGCUCCGCCGCUGCCACCGCCGCUUCUCGUCUCCAACGGAGGUGAGCUUCGUGUCCCUCACCUCCCCCGCACCCGACUCUGGGCCCCGCGCGCGCCGUCGUGCCGCCGGAGGCCGGCCGGAGCAAGCUUGCUCCGGCCAAGCCCGAAAUAGGGCUUAUUUGAGUGGGUUUUUGUUUCUAAGGUUCCUGAGCCUCCCCGAUCUGUACGGAAGGGAGCACGAUGAUCGUAGCUAGUUGCUGAUCAUCGUGCUCACCUUAGUUUCUGUCGGGGAGACUCCAUUCCGCUGUUUUUGCGGUGUCGACCCUGUGGAGCCUUUUUGUCUGCUAUUUUGGGUUUGUGCUUAUUUUUUCGGCGAUCCGAGGCUGUUUCGAUGCCUCCGGAGGUGAGCACGGUGACUGCUGGUCAGUGCUGAUCACAGUGCUCACCUUUCUUUGGAUCAGAAGUGUCCGGUUAGUCCUGUUCGGCGCGAUCUUCCUUGACUGCGCGCUGUUCUCUGAACUUUCGGGUUGCUUCCGCGCUCCCACGGUGAGCCGCUGUGCUCCGGAUCGUUAGCACGGACUCCGGUACGUCGAGACCUGUCAGUACGUGUCUCUGCGGACUUUAGAAAUUCUCGGUUUGCGUGAACGAGCCGCUUGAUCGCUCAAUUUACAUAAAAUAAUAGAAUUUUAUGUAAGUUGAGGGGCUUUUAUGCAAUUGUGCAUUGUGUGGCUACUGUGGGCAAUGUGUGUGAGUGUGUUUGACCUCUAGACUGAUUGUCCAUGAUCCGUUAGCUUUUGCGGAAAUCGAAGAGUCGAUUUCGGUGCGUUUUUCGGCGAAAUUCGCCGAAAGAACACGGUUUUGGUUCGGAUUUCUUCCGACAUGGUUUGGUUGUCUUGUGUGUGGUCGCUGAGCCUUGUUGGCUAGUCACCAUCAUCAUUUUGUGGGUUCGGUGAUGAUGGGUGAGCGACGGUGGGUUCCGGUGUCGAAAUAGACACUUUCGGGAACUCGGAUUCGUACAAUUAUCCGGCAAUAAUUGUGUAGUAGUGAUAUCUUGUGUUUGCUGCCAAAACAUCCAAAUUGGAGUGUUUUGGGGCAGCAGGCGACUCGUGACACGAGUCGGUGAGUUUCGGGACACUUAGUGGGUCCCGACGGCGUCCCGGUGUGGUUUUCGGGACUUUCGGUGAGUUACGGUAAUCGGUAUUGGGAAACCGAUCUUCAUGAAAUUGUUUGUGGGGUUGUGGAUACUGUGAUUACUAGUUGUGGGUUAGAUACUAACCCGGUGGACCCUCUAUAGGUCCUGUCAACUUUUUUUUGCAGUCAGGAGACAGACGCGACAUCCUUACAGGUGGGUACUUCGACCCGACGUCGGUACAGUGGUGCACGCUCGGUGAUGGUUUCUUACCUUUGUUCUCUCGUUAUUAUCUGGCAUAUAUAUAUAUCUUGCUAUAUAGUGUUGAGCCUAGCACCAUGUUGUUUCAGUUAUGCUCUACUCGGUUAUUUUCGUUAUAUCUAGUAUCAUGAGUAGGAGUAGAGUAGUUAUUCCAUGUUUCUUUGUUACUCUAUUUAGCUGUUCUGCAUAUCCGGUAUCAUGUUUAGAGUAGAGCAUCUUCGUGACUUUCAUUGUUUGAUGACCGUUGAGGUCGGUAUAUCCUGAGGAGUGAGAUUGUCGGUUAAUGGCCGACGGAUGAUUAUAGUUUUCACAGAUCUGUCAUUUGACCCUUUGUGACCUAGUCUGUCAGUUCUGGAUUCUUGUCGUUUGAUGACCCACGAGGUCAGUGUACCCUGAGGGGUAGGAUUGUCAGCUAGUGGCUGACGGCAGUUCCAGAUUAUAGUGAUACAUUCCUGUGACUUAUUGGUUGAUUCCUGCAUCUAUACUUUAGUUGAUCCAUCGAGCAGUAUUUCCAUACUUUUGAGAGGAUGUUGAGUCGAUUCGUUGUGCAUAUAUCCUAGUUGACCUGAGUGGUCAGUCCUUGUGGUUCAUUGAGCAGUACUUGCAUAUGUUUGAGAGGAUGUCGAUGUUGUCCCAUCUAGUGACGACUAGUGACUUGUCGUUGGGCUUCCUUACAGUUGAUGACACUUUUGGUCGGUUAGCCCCGAGGGCGGUGAUUGUCGGCUGAUUGCCGACAGUUGCUAUUGACAUAUCUGCAUUGAUCGCCACACUCAGAUGCAUUUCACGUACACCAGCGGGUUGAUCCCCCGCAGGAGGGUGUGUUUCCGGAAAUGUGCGUACAUCCGACCCUGAGCCAGCGGUUUCUUUGUGCUAGGGUUACAUGCCAGGUGUGAGCAGGUAGUGGCUUUUGCCUGAGGUCCUUAGUCCGACACGGCGGUUGAGAUUGGGUACUUUUGGACUCUCGUCCAGUUGACGCAUAUAGCUAUAGUACGGUUGUUGUAUAUAACUUCUAGUUCUUUUUUAAGUUUCUUACUACUAUAGUUUGAUAUCCUUGUAUACUUGUUGUACAUUAUAGUAGCGGUAGUUGUGCUUUCAUAUAUAUAUUCAUUCGUUCAUUAUCGUUCUACUGUAUUUACUUAUCCAUACUUUUGUUAUCUCUUCUGAUCCGGUGAGUACUCCUCGCCUUCAUCGGCUUGCGGUACCCACUGGGAGGAGACAUGUUUACAUGUUCUCACCUCCCACCAUUUUUCAGGUAAUGCAAGUCGAUAGUUUUGGGACGAGACGUGAGGUACGUUCGUAGCGGUCGAUAGAGCUUCCGACCCAGGUUAUCGAUUUAGUUUUUAUCCUUACUAUUCUGUUGUUAUAGCUUAGUUAGUUUAUAUGGUUCAGUUAGAUGAUCAUACUUGAUGUUUGAAUGUUGUGAGCUGGUUGAAUUUGUGGAUUUGUGGAAUUGUGGAUUUGGUUUAUGGAUCUUCAGUUUUGGGAUGUUUGUAUACUUUGUGGUUCGCGGAUUUGUAUUUAUGGAUUUACGCAUCGUGGUUUUCUACUCAUCGAGGUAGUCAGUUUUCAAAAUAGAGUUUCCGUGUGGGAAACAGUUUUCAAAAGAUUUUUGAAUGAUUUUCAUGUAUAAAUGAAUUAGAUUUUAAAAACAAAAGCUUCCGUGUGGGGAGCACUUUUAAAUAGGAUGAUUGUUGUACUGUACAUUGCAUCAUCCAGCGUCUAAGGAGUGUUUAGAGGCAUGCAUCAUCUCUAAGGAUUGUUAGCUGUAUGAAAAUGCAUAUCAUGAAUUGGUUGCUGAUUGAAAAAUGUAGGUUGUGGUUGUGAUCCUGUUGUAUCCGUUGGUACGCCGUGCAAAUACAAAGGAGACUCUGUCCGAGUGAACAGAUGAACUUUGUAUUUGUGGCGGGUCUGUACGUCACGUGGGCCAGGUUGGGAAAAAAAAAAUGGCACAUCUUCCGCGACUCUCAGAUUUCAAAAUGGUAAUGGCUUUUAAAAUCGGCCCCGGGGCGUGACAUUUUUUGGCUCGGCAACAAUCUUUGGGUGCCGAUCUCUUAUCUUUAGAUCAACAUUUUCAUCGCAUUGAUCACUUUAAGAGGAAUAUCCCUGAAAUAGCUGAUCCUAUUACUGAAGUAAAUCAUGAGGAUCAGAUUUUAGCCAAUCAAGAAUUGGCUUUACAACAGCGGAUUUCAACCCUUAAAGACGAGUUAGCAGCAGCUGAAUCAACUUUAGCCCAAACCUCUGAGCGCCAGCUUCAAUUGCAGAGCCAAUUAAAGGCUAAAAGAGCAGAAGGAUUGCAAAUUCAGGAAGAGCUUUCUUAGCUCUACAAGGUGCAUCCUUUGAUGAAGCGCUGAAGAAAAGCUGCCGAAGCUGCCCAAGCCAACCUUAUAGCCGAAUGGAACCAACUCAAAGAUUUGUUAAUUUGAUUCGGCUUGUAAUGUUUUAACUUUAAUCUUGGUUUUUUUCCCACAUAGAUGGGUAAUAUUUCUUUAAAUAUUUUUCAUUAAUUGAUUUUUCAUUUUCUAACCCAUCUCUGUUCUGCAAAUAAUAUGCAUUUCCUCUUGUGAUUCGACUGACUUGAAAUGGCCCGUCCCAAUUUGGAGACCAUUUUCCAUAUGUUCGGUCUUUUUGACCGAUCGAAAAAACCAGCCGAAGUACUAAAUCACCGACAGCAAAUAUCUUUGAUCGAACCCUCUUAUUAUAUGCGCUACACACUCGGCUUUGGUAUGCUUGCAUAUUAUCUAAAGCUAUUAACCGAGUAUCACACACUUCCGCUGCUUUGUCCUUCAUUAUAUUACUGUAUUCAUCAGCCGACAAAUCUUUUUGCUUUUCUGUCCUCAAAGAAGGAACUGUUAUCUCGGCUGGAAUUACGGCCUCAUGUCUGUAAACUAACUGGAAAGGCGUCAUCCUUGUUGCCGUUUUCACUGAAGUUCGGCAUGCCCACAAUACUUCGAAAAGUUUUUCAUUCCAUUUUCUUGGAUGCUUUCCGAUGUGUCGUUUCAUCAGGUUGAUGACUAUUUUAUUUGCUACUUCUACUUGUCCAUUUGCUUGGGCAUAAUAAGGAGAAGAAUGGAGCAGUUUUAUUUUUCGAGACUCGAUGAACCGAACGAACUGUCCACCUGUGAACAUUGUCCCUUGAUCGGUCGUAAUUGUCUCGGGAAUUCCAAAGCGAUGAAUUAUAUAGUCUUCAACAAAAUCAAUAAUUUCUUUUUGGGUAACCAACCGAGUAGGUUUUGCUUCCACCCACUUAGUGAAAUAAUCUACAGCCACUAUUAAAAAUUUGUGACCAGCUGAGGAGUUCGGCUGAAUUUCUCCAAUUAAAUCCAUGGCCCAGCCUCGAAAAGGCCAUGGUUUAAUAAUUGCAUACAUCAUAGAGGCCGGAACUCUCUGGAUUGAGCCAUGAAAUUGGCAAUCCUGACAACCUUUGGCAUAUUUUAGGCAAUCUUGAUGCAUUGUUGGCCAAUAAUAUACUAAGUGCCGAAUUGUCCAUCUUAACUUUUUUUCGGCUAAAUGGGUCCCACAUAUUCCUUCAUGUGUUUCUCCCAUUAUUAAUAGAGCUUCUUCAGGUCCUAAACACUUUAAUAGAACCUCUUCGGCUGUUCUCUUGUAAAGUUGACCAUCUAAUAAACAAUAGCCGAGAGCUCUUCUUCGAAUAUUAUAGUCGACCCUUGUAUUAGGAUCCUCCAGAUAUUUGAUUAAUAAUUUUCUCCAAUCUUCCUUUACUUCUAUGGGAGCUAUAAUCGGUUCUCGUAUGUGAACCAAAGGCAGCAACCUCCUCUGUAUUACUAUUGAUUUUAACUUCGGCUCUCUAUAUCCUGAAGCCGAUUGAGCUAGUUCAUUAGCUUUUUCAUUUUUUUGUCUGCUCAAAUGUUUGAAUUCAGUCUCUCUGAAUUCGCAUAGCAACUCUAAUGUCUUCCUUAAAUAGUUUUGUAAAUUUGGGUUUUCACAUCGGUAUUCCCCAUUUACUUGUUUGAUUACUAACUGUGAAUCACCGAUGACUUUGAUUGAUUUUGCUUUCAAUUCUUGUAAAAUUUCUAGGCCGAUUAUUAAGGCCUCAUAUUCGGCUUGAUUGUUAGAGCAGCCGAAAUCUAGCUCGAAAGCAAAUUGGCAUGAAUACCCUUUAGGAGAUUGGAUAACUAUUCCAACUCCUGCUGAUUCGGUUGUUCUUGAGCCGUCAAAAUAAAGUAUCCAAGGCUGACAACCGACUAAAUUUUGCUUCGGUUCUUCCAAUUCCACACAUGGAUGAUCAGCCAAGAAGUCAGCUAUCUCUUGUCCUUUAACGGCUUUAGCUGGAAUAUAAUUAAGGAAGAAUUCAAACAAAGCCAAUAUCCAUUUUCCAAGCCGACCUCUUAAUACAGGUUUAGCCAACAUAUACUUUACCAGGUCGGUUUUGUAUAUUACCGACACCUCAGUAGGUAAAAUAUAAUAUCUUAGCUUUGUGCAUGAAUAGUACAAAGCUAAACAUAAUUUUUCAAUAGCCGAAUAUCGUUUCUCAAUAUCUAAAAAAACGUCGGCUUAAAUAAUAAAUGGCUUGUUCUUCUUUUUCAUCAUUUUCCUG